RNAcentral lists this long non-coding RNA (84170 nucleotides) under Triticum aestivum (bread wheat). Its description in RNAcentral is "long non-coding RNA (TAES_LNC004469)". The stretch from base 83170 to 83284 matches the Rfam family "MIR1120/MIR1122 microRNA precursor family". The record is from RNAcentral. Lineage: Eukaryota; Viridiplantae; Streptophyta; Magnoliopsida; Poales; Poaceae.
UUUUUUUUAGUGAAAAGGGCGAGGGGGCGGAGCCCCCAGCCCGUCUUCAUCUUCUUGCUCCUCAUUCUUCCUCUUCCUGCAGCUUCCAUGGCACCGGUGAGGAGGUUCUCCGCCAAAGCCCCCCAGGAAGGGCUAGGCUCGCCGCCUCCCAAGAGAGGGUGCAGCAGUCCUCGCAAGUCCGAUGUGACGUCAGCAGCGGUCUCCCAGGGGCGCGGGCGCACACCCACGGGUGUGCGCAUUGCCUCCGACGGUCACAGAAAGGGUCCCUCCCGCGAGGGUGGCAGCAGAAGCCUUAGCAGCCGCGGUUGAUGUGGAGGGCUCGCGGUGAACGUCUGACCGCCGCGCCCGUGAUCCCAGACAGCCGACGUAGCCAUGGAGUUCAUGGUGUGGGAGAAGAGGCCGGAGGGCCUCUGGAUCCACCUCCCAUGCUUCUUCGUGGAGGAGCUUCCGGAUAGAAGGCCCGGUGGCCUGCGGCUGCAAGCCGACGGGUGUUGCGGCAAGGGCUCGUGGGUGGAGGUCGAGGUCACCCUCGCGGGCAACGUGUUCCUGAACUGCAAGUGGUAGAACUUCGCCUGAGACCGCGGCCUGCAGGGGAGUCAUACCCUCCAUUUCAAGUACGAUGGAGUGGCGACGCUUUUCGUCAAGGUGUUCGGGGAAGAUGGACGGCACUUGGGGUGCUGCCCGGAAGGCGACGACAGCGACAGCGACCACCUCUCUGACAGCGGUCGUUGUGGCGGUGGCGCCCUCCGCGGUGAACUGGCCCUUGGCGACAGCCGUGACACCUCCAGCAGCGGCGGCGCCUCCCCCAGGGAGAGCACGAGCAGCAACAACUACGACGAGCCGCCGCGCAGCCGCGCCUGGACCAAGGAGGAGGGUGAGGCACCACGACGUCGGGCCCCCAUCAAGGAGGAGGAGGAGGACUCCGACAAAUUGCGGGUAGCGCCAGAGCCGGGACUUGGGAAUAGCGGCCCUCCUGAGGCCGCUCCUUUUGUUUGUUUUUAUUUCCUGCACCAAGAACCAUGAAAGACCCCACGGAGCGUGUAAUGGACUGCGGUGCUUGCCCCUUUAUUUUAUCAUUUCUUGCGCCUAUCCUAGUAUCUGUGUAGAUUUAAAUUGAAAGGUUCCUAUCCGACGUGAUUAGGAUAACUUAGCUUGAUGUGCUUGUGACCCUUGGUGGGUCCCUCCGUCGCGGGAGCGCGCCCCUCUGGAGCCUUAACUCCGAGUAUGCCCCUGGGGUCCCGGGGAGGCCCCCCUCCUCCGGGGCCAGACCGCUCCAGGGUCUGGAGGGGCCUACACCUCGCGAGGUCCCUGGGGGACUCACGAGGUUCUGGGCCUCUAGAUACGCCUCCGCCAGUUGUGCAACCUCCCGAAGGUGCGGGCAGCACUUGUCGUGAGGUUCCUCUAGGAACGAGCUGAUACGUCUCCAACGUAUCUAUAAUUUAUGAAGUAUUCAUGCUAUUAUAUUAUCCAUCUUAGAUGUUUUAUAUGCAUUUAUAUGCUAUUUUAUAUGAUUUUUGGGACUAACCUAUUAACCUAGAGCCCAGUGACAGUUUCUGUUUUCUCCUUGUUUUUGAGUUUGCAAAAAAGGAAUACCAAACGGAGUCCAAUUGACGUGCCAAUUUUUGAUGAUUUUUUAUGGACCAAAAGAAGACCACGGAGCAUCGGAGUUGGGCCAGAAGAGUCCCGAGCUGCCCACGAGGGUGGGGGGCACGCCCACCCCCCUGGGCGCGUGGGCAUGCCUCGUGGACAGCUCGGGCACCUCCUUGACGUGAGACCGACGCCAAAAAUUCCUAUAAAUACAGAAACCUCGGAAAAUUAACCUAGAUCGGAAGUUCCGCCGCCGCAAGCCUCUGUAGCCACGAGAAAUCAAUCUAGGCCCUCUCCGGCACCCUGCCGGAGGGGGCCAUCAUCAUCGGUGGCCAUGGAGGAGGAUCCCAGAGGGGCCAUCAUCACCAUGAAGGCCAAGGACCAGAGGGUGGAGGCCAUGGAGGAGGAAGCACAAGGGGGAGAACCUCUCCUCCUCUCUCUUGGUGGCACUGGAGUGCCAUCGGGAGGGGAAUCAUCGUUGCGGUGAUCGUCUUCAUCAACAUCACCAUCCUCAUCUCUUUUACGCGGUCCACUCUCCUACACCCCGCUGUAAUCCCUACUUGAACAUGGUGCUUUAUGCCACAUAUUAUGAUCCAAUGAUGUGUUGCCAUCCUAUGAUGUUUUGAGUAGAUAUCUUUUGUCUUUGGGUUGAUUGAUGAUCUAGAUUGGUAUGAGUUGCAUGUUUUACUUUGAUGCUGUCCUAUGGUGCCCUCCGUGUCUCGCAAGCGUGAGGGAUUCCCGCUGUAGGGUGUUGCAAUACGUUCAUGAUUCGCUUAUAGUGGGUUGGUGAGUGACUGAAACACAAACCCGAGUAAGAGGGAUUGUUGCGUAUGGGAAUAAAGAGGACUUGAUGCUUUAAUGCUAUGGUUGGGUUUUACCUUAAUGAUCUUUAGUAGUUGCGGAUGCUUGCUAGAGUUCCAAUCAUAAGUGCAUAUGAUCCAAGUAGAGAAAGUAUGUUAGCUUAUGCCUCUCCCUCGUAUGAAACUGCAAUAGUGAUCACCGGUCUUGUUAACAAUUGCCUAGGACAAUUCCGCACACCGAUCCACCAUUAUUCCACACUCACUAUUUAUAAUAUUUAGUAUUAUAUUCUAAGUUUAUGAUAACAGCACCUACUUUUAUAUUUUAGCUCUCCGAUAUCAUACAAAGUUAUCCUCUUCAUACCCACAACGAAGUUUUAUUUCUAGUUUCUAGUUGGAAGCAAACGUUCGGUAUACGUAGAGUCGUAUCAGUGGCAGAUAGGGCUUGAGAGAAUAUUGAUCUUACCUUUAGCUCCUUGUGGGUUCGACACUCCAUACUUAUCACUUCCACCUUUGGAAAUUGCUACGAUGAUUCCCUGCACUUGGGGAUUAUCACGAGCCAAGCCACGGCUGCUCUUUCUCCAACCAUGCUUUCUUGGCACCCAUCCCGUGCCCGAGCCCCCAAGCGAGGGUCGAUCGUUGCUGGUAUGCCCGGGUCGCGAUGCUCGGCAAGGCCAUGAGGUGGCCAGUAACCACACUUGCAUGUUGGCUCGCUCAGGAGCGUCGCGCGAGGAACCGGACGCCAAGCCCUUGGCGAGGUGUGCGUGCAGGCGGGUCGGCAGCCGUUGUGACAACAUUGCCGGGUUUGCCCUCAGUGCAACACCAUGCCCAGCCCCCGCUCGCGAGACGCGAGGGAGGAAGCAAUGGGCCAUUGUUACCUCCUCCUAAAACUGGGUUGGAAAGGGAAAAACACCGCAAGAAUAAAAAAUCCUAACCCCCCAUUCAAAUAAAGACGCGGAAACUUCAAACUUCAUUUCAAGAAAUAGUAAAUUUUGGUUUACAAGAGAAAGCAAAGAACAGCCGUGUCUGGCACUCUUCUAGUCUUCCCACCAGUACGGAGCAUGUGGCCUCCACUUGGCAUGGGCAUAGUCAUUGUUUGUCUGUGUCGUCCGCCAGCGCGGAGCAUGGGGCUUCCACUUGGGCAUGCAUGGGAGCCCCCGAGAGGCCCAGGGGCGGCAGUCAGGAUUCUCUGGGGCGUGUAUAGCCCCACUCAUUAUUACAUGAGAGUGUUAUGGGUAGAACUUACGGAUAUGCUGGAUGUUCCAAGCAUUCUGGAUGGGGACCCCGUCCUGCGUCUCCAGGCAUACGGCGCCAGGCCUGGAGACAUGGGCGAUCCUAAACGGGCCCUCCCACAUAGGCGAGAGCUUGUGAAGGCCCUCCCUAGAAAGGAUCCGCCUCAGGAUGAGUUCUCCCACCUCGAAGGUCCGGGAGCGGAUGUUACGGCAGUGGUAAUGCCACAACGCCUGUUGUACCUUGCUGCGCAGAGCGAGGCUGGGCGACGGGCUUCCUCCCCGAGCACGAGAUCCAUUCCUCGCGAGGCAUCCUGAUGCGCCUCGUCGAAUGCCAGGACCCGCGUGGAGCGAUGCUUGACCUCGUGCGGGAGGACCACCUCAGCCUCGUAGACGAGGAAGAAGGGAGUCUCGCCGGUGGGCUUAGUCCCGGUGGUGCGGAUGGACCACAACACGGACUGAAGCUCACUGAGCCAACCCCUGCUGGAGGACUCCAGCUUCUUCUUGAAGCUCCUUGCCUUGAGGCCCCUCAGGACCUCCGCAUUGGCGCGCUCAGCCUGGUCGUUGCUCCGUGGGUGCGCCACUGAAGCAUAGCAUAUCUGCGUUCCAAGGUUAGUGUAAUACCUCCUGAUGAGGUUGCUUGUGAAUUGGGAGCCAUUGUCAGUAAUGAUACGGUUGGGGACACUGAAAUGGCUCACGAGGCCCUUGAUGAACUUGACGGUUGAGCCAGCAGGAAUGGUGCGCACGGGCUCCACCUCCGCCCACUUGGUGAACUUGUCGAUGGCGACGCAGAGGUAGCGGUAUCCACAAGCUACUCGAGGGAACGGGCCCAGGAUAUCCAGCCCCCAGACCGUGAACGGCCACGAGAGAGGAAUGGUCUGGAGACCUUGUGCGGGCUGAUGAAUCUGCUUGGCAUGGAACUGGCAGGCCUCGCAGGAUCACACUAGCUCGAUGGCGUCGUUGAGCGUCGUAGGCCAGUAGAACCUGCUGCGGAACACCUUGCCCACGACGGUGCAUGAGGAGGAGUGGUGCCCGCAAUCCCCGUCGUGGAUAUCGGCCAGCAACUCGCACCCCUGUUCUUUGGAUAUGCACCGUAGUAAGACGUCGUUGGGGCAUCGCCGGUACAGCUCGUCGUCCUGCAAGCAAUAAGCUGUGGCCUGGCAGACCACGCGCUUCACGUCUUCCUCCCUCUCCGGUAAGGUGUUGCGGAGCAGGUACGCCUUGAGCUCCUCGGUCCAGCAGCCUUCCUGAGGUUCCAACACCAGGAGUAGGCGAGCUCCCGAGGUCGGACCACAAGCUGGGGCUCCUGAGGUCGGGGCCGGCGGUAGCUCCUCCCUGAGCAACACCGGGUCCGCGACUUAGGGUAUCGCUGAUGGUUUGAAGAGCCUCUCAUUGAAGAUGCUCGGCUUCUGAGGCUCGCGGCGGGACGCCCUCUUGGCGGUGUCGUCUGCUUCUUUGUUCGUGCUGCAAUUCCAAACCCAGGGCGCACUUUUCGAUUUUACGUACCUCUUCCAGGUAAGCCUCCAUGUGCUCGUCCUUCAGUUUAUACUCCUUGUUGGAGAAGUUGACGAGGAGUUGGGAGUCGCCCUUGAUGGUGAGGCGCUUGAUCCCCAGGGCGGCCGCGGCCCUGUGACCAGCAAUCAAGCCCUCAUAUUCUACGAUGUUGUUGGAGACCUUCUCGCCAUGCUGGAAACAAAGCUACACGGCAUAGUAGAGCUUGUCCUUCGUUGGUGAGAUGAGGACAACUCCAGCUCCCACGCCUUGCCGCCGAAGGCACCAUCGAAAUGCAUGACCCAGCCGUCGGGUGCCUCAUCGCCGGGCGCGAGGGACUGGCCCUCAUCCAACCCCCGAUCGAGAGCGUCGGUCCACUCCGCCAUGAAAUCAGCCAGGGCUGCUCCCUUGAUGACCCUGGUUGUGCUGAACUCCAGCUGGAAGGCCUGCAACUCGAUGUUCCACUCUGCCACCCUCCCCGAGGCGUUGGGGCUGCACAACACCUUCUCUAGGGGGCACGCCGAGACAACCUUGAUGGGGUGCCCUUGGAAAUAGUGGCGCAACUUCCUUGAGGGCACGAAGAGUGCGAGCAAGAGCUUGCUGCAUAGGGUAGCGCACGCAUCGCGUAGCACUAUGCUGAUGAAGUACGCCGGAUGCUCGACGAGGGGCGGGGCGUCGGGGGUGCGGGGGACUUAGGAGGCUUGCAGGUCGAUGAAGCAAUGGGAUCCUAAGGAGCGCCGGCCUGAGGCGGCACAGGUUGCGCGACUUCUCGCAGGCCACCUUGCUUCGUGCUUGCACCGCCGUGCUCUUCCCGGGCCGCCAUGAGUGCUGCACUAGCUGAGUGGGGAGUGGCUGCCAAGUAAAGCACCAGGGGCUCGUGCGGACGAGUCGCCACCAUGACGGGUGGGCUCGUGAGGUAUCGCUUGAGGUCUUCGAAGGCCGCCUCAGCUUCCGGGGUCCACUCAAACGGACCCUUCUUCUUCAUAAUCUUGAAGAAAAGGAGGGGCGCUCGCCAAGCUUGGAGAUGAAGAGCCCCAAGGAGGUCAUGCACCCCGCAAGCUUCUGCAUCUCCUUGAGAGUCUGAGGCGGGCUCAUCCUCUCUAUUGCCUUUACCUUCUCGGGUUAGCCUCAAUCCCUCCGUGCGACACUAGGAAACCCAACAGCUUGCCAGACGGAACGCCGAACACACACUUCUACGGGUUGAGCUUUAGGUUUAUGCUGUGCAGGUUGGCGAAUGUCUCUUCCAGGUCAUUGAUCAGGGUCCUUGCCUCCCGCGACUUCACCACGAUGUCAUCAAUGUAUGCCUCUGCAUUCCUUCCCAGCUGCGGCCCAAGCGUGAUGUGCAUUAGCCACUAAAAGGUCGCACCAGCGUUCCGCAGCCCGAAAGGCAUGCGGGUGUAGCAAUACACGCCGCACGAGGAGAUGAAAGAUGUUUUAUCGGCGUCCUCUCUCGCCAUCUUGAUUUGGUGGAACCCUGAGAAAGCAUCCAAAAAGCACAGCAGGUCGCACUUGGCAGUGGAAUCCAUGAUCUAGUCGAUGUGCAGGAGCGGGAAAGGGUCCUGAGGGAAAGAUUUGUUGAGGCUCUUGAAGUCGACGCACAUGCGCUCCUUCCCUCCUUUCUUAGGGACAAUCACUGGGUUGGCCAACCAAUCCGGGUGCCGCACUUCUCGAAUGACACAGGCCUCUUGCAACUAACGGACCUCUUGGACAAUGAACGUUUGCUUCUCCUGUGCUUGAUGUCGUGCCUUUUGCUUUACCGGGCGCGCACCGGGGCAUACCAUCAAGUGGUGCUCGAUCACCUCCCUCGGGACGCCAACCAAGUCUGAUGCCACCCACGCGAAUACAUCCUUGUUGGCCCUUAGGAAGCCAACUAAUGCCUCCUCCUAGUCUGGGAAGGCUGGCACCAAUGGUGAAGGUGGGGUCUGAGCCCCCGAUGUCGACACGUACCUGCCUUGUCUCGGCCCGGUCCUGAGAGAACAAUUGCUUUUUCUUUGCGGGUGCGGCCUCCUGAGCCUCUGCGGCGCUCCCAGCGCCAGGACGCAAGGCCGCCGCGGUCCUGUAGGCGAGCUUGAGGCCCCGGACUGCGUCUUUCGUAUUCCCGAACACCGUGAUAAUGCCGCUGCUACCCGGCAUCUUGAUGACAUUGUAGUCUAGAUGGGUCACCGCCAUGAACUUGGAGAGGGCCAGAUACCCCAGGAUGGCGUUGCAUGGGAGGCCGAUGCGGGCCACUUCAAAGUCAACCAGCUCGGUGCGGUAGUUGUCGCGCGUGCCGAAGGUGAUGGGGAGGCGUAUCUGUCCAAGGGGUGGGGUGGCCGAGCCCUUGACCACCCCCGAGAAAGGCUUGGUGGGAGUGAGCUGGUCGCGCGGCACCUGGAGCGGGUCCAAGGUUUCCACGGAGAGGAUGUUCAGGCCGGCACCGCCGUCGAUGAGGGUCUUGGUUACCACGACGUUGCCGAUGGUGGGCGUGCAUAGCAUGGGUAGGGCACCCACGGCCGCCGUGGUCUUGGGAUGAUCUCUCGAAUCGAAGGUGAUCUCGGCCUCAUGCCUGGCGCAGCCCCGCACAUCCUCGCGCUGCGGUCGAGUAGCGCUUGCCCGACGGAGAAACUGCUUGAUGUGGCGGCCAGAAGCAGGCUCCUGUGACCCGCCGAUGAUGCACGCAACUGUGUGAGGCGCCGGAGCCGCAAAGCAUGCAACAAAAUGGUCGUAGAGCUCUUCCCAAGAGGAGAUCGAGGCGUGUGGGAGGCCGUGGAGCCAAGAUCGAGGGGCCUCUAUGAGGGCCAGGGGGAGCCAGUUUCCCAUGGCCUUGUCGUCGCUGCCCGCUGCCUGGAUGGCUUGCGCGUAGGAUCGGAGGAACUCUUCGGGGUCCGCCGCACCAUCGUACCGCGGGGCCAGCGUCGACCUGAACUUCAUGGGCCACUGCACCCGACGCAGGCCGGCGGUGAAGGCCAGGCAACCUGUGGAGCUCCCAUAGGCCCCGGGCGGCCAUGCCUCCAAGGCGGCGCCUGCCAUGGAGGUAGUGGAGCGGGGACGAAGCAUGGUUGGUGGAGAAGCGAAACUUUGACACGCCCCCAACCUGGCGCGCCAAAGUCGGAUUUGCGGCUCCGCAGACCCAAGAAGUCUCGAACUCUAGGGCAUGUGCGAAGAUCUCAACCUCUCAAGUCACAAGCUCAUCGCCCUACAGCCUAGCCUCAUCGGGUGCAUGCUCGAGUGGGGAAGAAGACGAACACGGCAACUUACCCAGGUUCGGGCCACCUUGCAGUGUAAAAUCCUACUCCUGAUUUGUGGUGGAUUGGCCUCACGAGGGGGGCUGAGGAUGAACAAGUACAGAGGAUGAACAGCCUUGCAAGGACUAUGGUGGUGAGGGUGGAAGGGAUCAGAUCAGGGGUUCCCUUUCUACGGUGGUGGCUAAACUAUAUUUAUAGUGGCCUCGGUCAUCUUCCCUCAAAACUUAGGCGGGAAGGGCUCCCAUAACGGCCAAUUUGAAAGGGGACAAGAAGUACAUCUAAUCCUGAUGAAAGGUGGUCUUCGCCUGCAAAGCUUCUGGUCGUGACGCAGCGGUGGGCUCGGUGAUGACAUCUGUCCUGCCUAGCUCAUGGUCUUGGUCUUGUAGCACCAUAAUGGAAACCUUUGGGUGUUCCUCGGGAACCCGUGCUCGUCCUUGCUCCCUUAGCACCAAAAGGGAAACUGCCUCCUCUGUGCCCGCUGGCGCCUGCCUGGCCAUGGUCGUCAUGGAUCACGUCAUCGCAGCCUCAUGAGGCUGGGUACCUACAUAGAAAUCUUCGCUCCUCGGGAGGCCGCCUCUCUAGAGGUCUUGGCGUCGUUCUCCUCGCGAAGCAGGGGAUCUCGCGAGGGUCUUGUCUUGGAGGCCCCGCAGCUGGGCCGUACCAGGCCAUCGAGGAAUGCCGACAGUAUGAGUACCUUUAGCCACUUCCUUGCCGGAAUUGGCCUCUGACUCUGAUGCAGUGGGAUUAAGCACAAGCAGCGGAUCGAGAGAAGAUUUCAACCCCUGAAGAAGUUCUUUAAGCAUGGACUUGACCUCGGCCGUCAUGGAUGUCUUAAGUGAAGACAUGGCUUCAUUUAAGUCAUCUCGGGUGAUCGAGUUCAACUCCACGGCCUCGGGUACUUCCUCAUCCCCAUCCCCGUUGCCAACCAUACUCUCCGGGUGGUGAAACCCUUAAUCAAGAGAUGGGGCUCUAAUACCAAUUGAAAGGAUCGAUAUGGUUGACUAGAGGGGAUGAAUAGGCAACUACCAAUUUUUAGAUUUUCUUAACAAAUUAGGUUUAGCAACAAAUAUGUUGUCUAGAUAUGCAACUAGGUGAGCAACUUAUAUGAUGCUAGCAAUAACAACAACACAAGCAAGCACGAUAAACAACACAAGUAAAGUUUGCACAAAUUAAAGGUAAGAGAUAACCACAGGUGAUGUCGGGGGAGACGAGGAUGUGUUAUCGAAGUUCCUUCCCUUUGAAAGGAAGUACGUAUCCAUUGGAGCAAUGUGGAGGCACAAUGCUCCCCAAGAAUCCACUAGGGCCACCGUAUUCUCCUCAUUCGCUCACACAAUGCGAGAUGUCGUGAUUCCACUAGUGGUGCCCUUGAAGGCGACAAUCGGACCUUUACAAACAAGGUUGGGGAUCUCUCCACAACCGAAUUGGAGGCUCCCAACACCACCCCGAAGCUUCACUACAAUGGAAUGUGGCUCUGAGGUGACCUCAACCAUCUAGGGUGCUCAAACACCGAAGAGUUCAGUUAAGCAAUUUAUUGCAUACCAAUUCCUCAAAGUGCUCUUAUGUGCAAUAUUGAUAAAAUUGCAAGAAACAACCUUUUUGGUUGUGGUAUUUGCUCUCAUGCUUAGUAAUUCAUUUUUAUGCAAAUGAGAUCAGUUUGCGCCAUGUGCCAUGUGACAAAGCCCUACGCUAAGAUCAAGUUUGUAUAAAUAAUGGAUUCAUUCUUGGAUAUCAUGUUCUUAUCUUUUGUAUCUUUUUGUGUGUGCAAGUUUCUUUGUGGAUGCUCAUCUUGAUGAUUAUUGGCCACGUAAGAAACUUAUACACAUGAGAAAGUGCAUAUCCCUCUUUGAUAUCCUUUCGUUUCCUUGCCGGUCCUUGGAAUUGUCUCUUUUUAUUCUUUGGUGGAUACGGUAAGAGGUUGAGUAGUGAGUGCUUGUAUGUAUUGCAUAUAUCAUUGCACUCAUGAGUUGUUGGAUAUUUUUUGGACCCUUGCUUAGUCAAGUGAUGAUCCUAUUUUGUGCACGUUGUAUCCAAGUACAAAACUAAAUAAUGCACAAAUCAUGGGGAGCUUCUCUAUGUUCUUUAGAACACUCCUAUGCUCAUAUCAUAAUAUCUUUUUGGUGCAUUUUAUGGAUCCUCAAUAUAGUGUGAAUUUCUUCAUUUGUUCGUAACUGGAUAUGUGCAUUUGAUUCCACUCACAAUAUGAGAAAUGCACAAAUUAAGGAGGAACUCAUACUAUAUUGGUCUUCUAGAUUUUUUCUCCAUUUUGGCACUUGUUGCCAAUGGGGGAGAAGUUUAGAGAGUUUAGGUGAAGUAGGUUGGUUCAUGCAUAUCUACAUUUGUUGUGGUUGUUGCAUGGAUGUGUAUAUAGAGGAAACUCCACCAAGUUCUUCCAUGCAUAUAUUGUGGGGGAGUUUGCUCUAUAUAGUGUGGUUCUACUAGCAUCAAAUUCUUGUGUAGUAUUUCGAUGCUAGUACAACCAGUUUUGAUAACAUCAACUAUCUUUGUGAUAUUUGAGGCUAUCAAAACCACCUCAAGUAUUCAAUUUAUUCUCGGAUAGGUUGCAUACUUGUUUUAAAUUCAUUAUAUAAACCCUCUUGUUGAGAUUGUCAUCAAUUACCAAAAUGGGGGAGAUUGAAAGGGCAUGUAGCCCCUAAGUGUGGUUUUGGUAAUUGAAUGACAAUCUCUAUGGACUAAUGUUUUCAGUGAGAUAUAUUUGAAGGUUUUGUCCAUAGAUGGUGCCUCAAGGAUAUUGGAUGGAAUCAAGGAUGAAGUCCAUAUAUAUGAAGAUAAUGCCUCAAGGAUAUUGGAUGGAAUCAAGGAUGAAGUCCAUAUGGAUGAAGUUAUAUUUGCUCUAAGCUUUAGUAUUAAAUGACAAUUCCUAUGGAGCAUCAAGUGCAUUGGAUCUUAUAUGAAGAUAUGUUCCAUAGUGAUGCUUGAAGUUCUUUGGGUUGUUUUUUGAAGAUUUCCAUCAAAGCAUCCGAAGAAGUCCUCAUGGUAUCCCUCUCUGGAUACCCCAUGCACACGGGCUUAUACCGUGUGCACGGGGUCGAGUGUCAACUCUCUGGAUACCCCGUGCUCACGGGGCCUAGGUGUUGGCUCUCGAGAUUCCAUAUCCAGCGAGGUUUCAAGUUGGUCUUCUGAGUAUCAAGGCUUGAGAGAAUAAUCAAAGAGAAGAAUUCGAGUUAUGGUUUCAAGACAAGAUCAUGGUGAGCUCAUGUGUUGGGUUUCGGUUGAUCAAGCCUUGAAGCAAGCAACUAGAGUGAAGAAUUCAUUAUGCCUCUCAAGACAAGAUCAUGUUGAUCAAGUCUUGAAGCAAGCAACUAGAGUGACGAAUUCAUUAUGCCUCUCAAGAGUUUGGGAUGGAGUUUUUAGAAGGGCAAGUGGUGACCAAGAUGAUAUUCAUAGUGGAACUUGAUAUGGUCAUGAAAGAGUCUUUGGUGAUAUUGUAUUGAAGCAAUGAAGUGAAAUGAAGAGUUCAUUGUGGCUUUCAAGAAACCAAGAUGGAGCUUGAAGUAAAGAUGUUGGUUGACCAAGAUGAAGCUCGAAGAGUAUAUCUAAGUGGUCAACUCACAAAGCACAAACAAUGUACCACGUGAGAUCAAGUGAUCUAGUGGUAUGGUAAGUAAUUGUGAAUUGUGCUUUGUUACCUAACCCAUGCUAUAUGUUUGUUAUGUCUAUGUGGGUUAGGUGUUUCUCAUAGGCUUGCAUCAAAAGGAAAGAUCUCGUGUAGCCUAUGUGUGGAUGACAUCAAGUGGUGAUGGUCAUCGGAUUCGAGGAGUCCAAGUGCAAGAUGAGAUGACAUCAAGUGGUGAUGGUCAUCGAGUGGGAGUCCAGGUGCAAGAUGAGAAGCCGGAGGUUAUAUGCUUUGAAGCUUGCGGUCCACAUCAUGAUAAUGUGCAUGUGAAUAUGGGCUUGAGAUAAGGCUUCCCUCAUUGCAUCAUGAGGAAGCAAUUCGAGUAUCUUCACCAAGUGGUCGUGGACAAGAAAGGGAUUCCAACUUGAGGCAGGCAUUAAAGUCAUCAUCAAGCUCAAGUUGAAUGUGCAAGGCAAAGUUAUACCUUAGCUAGGUUUUCCUAGUUUUUCCGGUCUCAUAGUGCUUGGUGGGAGACCGGAUUAUAGCUUUGAUAGCCGUUCUAUCAAGAGGGACUCUCGGGCAAGUAGCUUGAUCACGUCGCAUGUAGAGAGCUCAAACCUUUGCAUUACUUGCAUCAUUCUUUCUUGUUGAUCUUGGGUGGUUCUCUAUGUGAGGACCUUGGGCUUUUCCAUAGCUUCAAAACGAGCCCAAGAUCAUCGAAUUCGGAGUCCGUAUGCCAAAGUUAUCAACGUUUUAGUGGGCUGCUGCUGGCUGUCCUGGGGACUCCGCGUGAACUGGGUAUUUGACCCCCAUGGGCACGGGGCCCCAUGUGCACGGGGCUUGUACCGUGCGCACGGGACCCCGUGGGCACGGGGUCUAAACCCCCGUGCACACGGGGUGCCUAGGAAAUGCCCGUUGGAGCCCCAAUGGCUAGUUUCUGAGUUUGGCUAUUUAAGGGCCCAUUCCUCCCACCGGUUGGGGGUUGGUUCUUACACUUUCAAAACACCAUUUUGAGCCUCUCUACACCUCUCCCAAAGCCCUUUCUCCCCUCUAUGUGAAGGGGGAUUUGUGGAUGGAUUUGUGAGCCAUUUGUUGAUCAUAUCCAUUGCAUCCCCUCUCCUCAAUCUCCUACUUUCAAAAGUGCAUCUUGUGAGAUUGAGAGAGUGUGUUGAGAAUUUGUUGCUUGGCAUUGCAUUGCAUUUGUUGCAUUGGUUUGAGCUCCCCACAUCGAUUAGUUCGAGUGAGAGUCUGUGAGUUUAUUACUCUUGGAGGUUUCGGCCUCCUAGACGGUUUGGUGAUAUUCAUUGUGAAGAUUGUGAAGAGGCCUAUGUGGCCAAGGUUCCCCCGGAAGCUUCCUCUUGUGGUGUGCUCCGGGGAAGGGUGUUGAAGUGGCCUAGGUGGUCAAGUUCCUCCGGAAGCUUCCUUGCUUGUGGUGUGCUCCGGAGAAGUUUGUAAAGGUGUGGUGGUCGCCUUCAAGACCAACCCCGAGUGAAUCGAAGCUCAUCCGUUGGGGGGUGACUCGAAAAGGAGAAUACGGUGAGUCACUUGGUGACGCCCCGGAGCUUUGGCUUCGGCACCGCUCUAACGGAGAUUAGCACUCUCACGAGUGUGAACUUCGGGAUAAAUCCGCGUCUCCGACUCACUUGUGGUUAUCUCUUACCCACACCCUUUACUUACCGCAAUUCAUACUUGCUCAUAUUGAUAUAUCUUGUGCUAGUUGAAUUGUUUAGUUGUUCCUACAUUUCCAUAUCUUGUGAUAUAGUUUGUGCUUGCUAGUUUCCUUAAGUGCCUAUCUUGUUUAGCAUAGGUUGUUGGUGCGCUUAGUUGAGCCUAGCAUAUUUAGGAUUUGUGCUUGAAAGGUAUCCGUUUAGUUUAAUUCCACAUUAGGAUAAAGCCAAAUCCGUAACAGUUUUAAAACGCCUAUUCACCCCCCCCCCUCUAGUCGUCAUCUAGAUCCUUUCAGGUACUCCUUGCGGUACUGGUACAGCGGUAGUUUCGCCGGAGCGGUACUACCGCGCUGCUAGAGCGGUACUCCCGCUAAGCUGUAGACAACCCAGUAAACCUGCGGUAGUAGAGUGAUAAUCAAAGUUGCAGUACCACUGGAGCGGUACUACCGCACUGAACUGCCGCACUAUAGCCACCCAUUUACAUAACCUAAACAACAAGCGGAAGUGAGAACAUAACUGAACUGCGAUAGUACCGCUUGAGAGGUACUACCGUUGAGCAGAGCGGUACUACCGCUUAGACUGCUCUGAAAAGCCCAAGCACAAGGGAAGGCCAAGCUCAAAUGCAAGGAAGGAAAGAGGGUGCAGAGGGACCUUCUAUGUGUUGAUUUCACCCAACCUUUUCGACGCGGACCCCCUCUUAAUAGUACGGUGUUCCUACGACUCAAAUCCACAAAAAAUGAACCGAAGGACAAACACCAUCUUCCUAAUAGCUCAGAGGUGCACGAAUCGUCUUUGUGCCAUAUGAUAGAUUAGCUGAAAUGCUCAAUGCACAUCUCUGCAAAACCACUAAGGGAGAAAUAUGCCCUAACAACAGGGCCUCUGUAUUAUGAGGAUUAGAGAGAACAAGAACUAGUUCAAGUCUAGAUCAAGUCUAGAUCAAAAACUAGAACUAGAGAGAGGGAAUCCUCGGGAUGCCGGUUCAUCUCACAUGGGCCGAACUAUUGGGCCGCACCGUAUCCGGACCGAAGACCUUUUGUGCCUUCGUGUGCACCCCAAGUCAAGAUGGAAUAUCCGGAGUUUCCUCUAUGUAACCGACUAUUUGUAAACCAUAGCACCCCUGGUGUCUAUAUAAACCAGUGGGCUUGGUUUGUAGAGGCUAGAAGAUCCCUCUGUAACCUCCUUAUACACAAGCAAUAUAAUCAAGAAAGACGUAGGAUUUUACCUCUUAGAGAGGGCCCGAACCUGGGUUAACAUCGUGUCCCACGUCUACUGUUCCCCAUCGAUCCAACGUCCACAAUUCGGGACCCCCUACCAGAGAUCCGCCGGUUUUGAUACCAACAUUGCUGCUUUCAUUGAGAGUUCCAAUGUUGGAUCACCGAAGGAACGAUGGCUCGCCUGAUCAUCAGAGACGGCGUCAACACCGAAGACAUCUUCAUCCCCGAGCAACUUUUCACAUUCGGCAGCAUUGUUCUGCAUGCCGACGCGACUGGUCGCCUCAACCAGGUCGACAAUUUCGCCCAUGAGCAACAGAUCAGGUUCGGCAACUUCUAGUGCAUCAUCGAUGCUCAGGGCGAUCUGAUCUUCACUAGCUUCUCAGCCUUACCCGCAACAAGCAUGACCUCCGAAGCAUUGACUUCGGGGGCUAUCCCCGAUCUGAUCUCUGGAUCAGCCCAUACCACGCUACCAGUGUCAAGCUCAGAAGCAUCACCUAUGUCCAAAACCCAGGAAUCAACCCUGUCCCGACACUCCCUCCUCGACGUGGAUCCGGCCUUGAGCCUUAACAAUAUUUGGGUGUCCGAAGACAUGGAGUCAACCCCCGCCGGGCUCGCCCUUCUCACCACAUAUUUGGCCUUGAGCCUUGAGGCAAGUAUAGUGUCCGAAGACCAAGGUUUGCCCCUGACCAGACCCAUGCCUCGCCCCACCCUUGCAAUGGAGGUUAACUCCGAAGAAACUUCAUACGCUGAUCCGGCCAGCCUCGCUGUUGAACGAGGCGCUUGACCGGAUCCAGAUGAUGGCUAUUGUCGAUGGACCAUCCUCGGCUCAUGCUCAACGGAGCCUCGGGGUAGGUCACAGGGAAUUUUAUGUCCCACCCACCAGCCACUUAAUAGCCACUGUCAAAGACAUAACCGACAUGCUGGGCAAUGCCACUAAGGAGGCUGAGGAUAUGGAUGACGACAACGAGGCCACAGCCCACACUAACAUUGCCCCUCCCGUAACCGGCCGCUGGACGGCCACUGUCGGUGUUCUGGGAUCCGGGGUACCCAGACUUGCCUGCCUGCUGCCCAACAUGCAGCAUCAUCGAUGGCCCGGUAUGGCCUAGCUACAAGACCCCCAAGACAAGACCCUCACGAGGGCCCCCGGCCUCGCGAGGCGGACGACGCCAAGACUUGGAGGGGCCGCUCCCCGAGCCUGCCUCCCGAGGAGCGGAGACUUACAUGUAGGUACCCAGCCUCACGAGGCUCUCGAUGAUGUAAGCCAUGACGACCAAGGCCAGGGGGCGCCAGCGGGCGCAGAGGAGGACAGUUUCCUCUUUGGUGCUAAGGAGGCAAGGACAUAUGCAGGUUCCCAAGGAAUCCCCCAAAGGUUUCCAUUUUAGUGCAACGAAACCAAGACCACAAGCUCAGCAGGAUGGAUGUCAUCGCUGAGCCCACCUCUGCGUCAUGACCAGAAGCUUUGUAGGCGAAGACCACCUUUUGGUAGGAUAAGAUGUAAUUCUUAUCCCCUUUCAAGUUGGUCAUUGUGGGAUCCCUUCCCGCCUAAGCUAUGGGGGAAGAUGACCAAGGCCACUAUAAGUAUAGGCUAGUCUCCACCGUAGAGAGGGAUCGGAUCCAUUCCACCUUCACUCCCAGAGCCCUUGCGAGGCAGCUCAUCCACUAUACUAGUUCAUCCACAACCUCCUCGUGAGGCCAAUCCACCACAAAGUAGGAGUAGGGUUUUACACGGCACGGUGGCCCGAACCUGGGUAAACUGUCGUGUUCUUACUUCCCCGCUCGCACGAACUCGAGAGGCAAGGCCCUGAGGUGAUGAGCUUGAGGCUGGUGCUGGUUUAGAUCUUCGCACACGCCCCAGAGUCUGAACCUUGUUGGGUCCGCAGAACCCCAAUUUCGGCAUUUGGUAAGCCAGGUAGGGGCAUGUCGAGAUCCUCCUCCCGGCUCUGAUUCAUUCCCACUAAGUCGCUCCCAUGGCCGACGUCACGCGCCUCGUUGCUCGUCCAUCGUCCCCGGUGUCACAGCCGGUUGCCCCGCCUUCACUCCGGAGAUGCGUCGGGUUUGCUUGCCGGUGAGGUUCAGGCCAGCGUUGCCCCCGUGGUACGACGGUGCGGCUAACCCGAAGGAGUUCUUCCGGCUAUACGAGCAAGGUAUCCUGGCGGCAGGCGGCAACGGGAAGGCCAUGGCCCCCUCUAGCACUCACGAAGGCUCCCCGCUCUUGGCUCCGAGGCCUCCCAGACGCCUCGGUAUCCUCAUGGGGGGAGCUCCGCGGGCAAUUCCUUGCACACUUCGCGGCCCCGAGGCCCCACACAGUCGUGUGCCUCCUCGGCGGGUCGCAAGCACCUGCGUAUGGUCGCCACGCCAAGCAACUCCUUCGCCGGGUGAUUGCCGCCCGGCGCUGACCUGAGACCCUGCGGAGCCGCGCACGGCGCGAGGUCGCCAUCACCUUUGACCCCAGGGAUCGCCCCGGAUCUGUGGUCGCCGCUGGUGCACUCCUUAUGCUAUGUGCACCCUCUUCGUCACCAAGACCCUCAUUGAUGGUGGCGCGGGCCUCAACGUGCUCUCUGUCGAGGCCUUCGAGAUGCUUCAGGUGUCGUACGACCAACUCCUACCAACCAGGCCGUUCGCCGGGGUGGCAGGGGGCUCCGCCUCCCCCUUGUAGCAGGUGCACCUUCCUGUCACCUUUGGAAAGCGUGACAACUACCGCACUGAGGUCAUCGACUUCGACGUGGCCCGCAUCGGCCUCCCUUACAACGCCAUCUUUGGGUAACCCACUCUCGCCAAGUUCAUGGUGGUGACACACCCCGGCUACAACGUCAUCAAAAUGCUGGGCAGCAGCGGUGUCAUCAUCGUGGUAGGAGACAAGGGGGAUGUGGUCCGGGCACUCAAGCUCGCCUACAGGGCCGCGGCGGCCUCGCAUCCAGAUGGCAAUGAGGUCACGGGGGCUUCGGAGACCACGCCCGCGAAGAAGAAGUAGCUGUUCUCCCAAGACCGCACCAAGACGAAGAGGGUGCCCGUCGAUGACGACAACCUGGGCCCCACUUUCACCAUCGGCGCUGGCUUGCCCGCGGACCAAGAGCAGGCGCUCAUUCGAUUCCUUCGAGCAAAUAAAGACGUGUUCGCAUGGAAGGCAUCCGAUCUUGUCAGCGUCCCGAGAGGAGUGAUCGAGCAUCACCUGGUGGUGUGUCCCGGCGCCCGCCCAGUGAAACAAAAGGCUAGGCGGUAGGCGCAAGAAAAGCAGGCGUUCAUUGUCCAAGAGGUGCGCAAGUUACAAGAAGCAGGGGUCAUAUGUAAGGUGUGGCAUCCGGAGUGGCUCGCCAACCCUGUCGUUGUCCGCGAGAAGGGCGCUUAGGAGCGUAUGUCCGUUGACUUCACUAGCCUCAACAAAGCUUGCCCUCAGGACCCCAUUCUGCUCCCGCGCAUUGACCAGAUUGUGGACUCUACCACGGGUUAUGAUCUAUUGUGCUUCUUGGAUGCGUUCUCAGGCUGCGGCCAGAUCAAGAUGGUGGCCGAAGAUGUCGAGAAGACGGCCUUCAUAUCGCCAUGCGGCGUUCACUGCUACACCUGCAUGCCCUUUAGGCUAACUAGCGCCGGCGCCACCUUCCAGCAGCUCAUGCACAUCAUGCUGGGGCCGCAGCUGUCGAAUAAUGCGGAGGCUUACAUCGACAACAUCGUGGUCAAAUCGUGCAAGGCAACAACCCUGAUCGAGGACCUGGAGGAAACAUUCGCCAACCUACGCAGGGUGAACAUCAGGCUUAACCCCGAGAAGUGUGUUUUUGAGGUCCCGUCCGGCAAGCUGCUCGGUUUCCUCGUCUCGCACCGAGGGAUAGAAGCGAACCCAGAGAAGGUCAAGGCUAUCGAAAAGAUGCGCCCACCCGAAACCCUCAAGGAAAUGCAGAAGCAGGCAGGAUGUGUGACCUCCUUGGGGUGCCUCAUAUCCAAGCUAUGCAAGUGCACCCUGCCAUUCUUCAAGUUGAUGAAGAGGAAGGGCCCCUUCGAAUGGACCCCCGAGGCGGAAGCAGCCUUCGAGGACCUCAGGAGGUACCUCACGAGCCCGACCAUCAUGGUGGUGCCCCGCUCUCGCGAGCCCCUGGUGCUUUACCUAGCGGCCACCCCGCAUUCAGCCAGCGCUGCACUCGUAGCAAUUCAACAGGAACGCGGCGACACUUGAGGGAAGCCCCAUGGCCCGUGCGGGGACCUGAAGCCUUCUGAAUCCCCGUCGCGUCAGGAUGGUACUCUUGAGGGCUUCGCCCCCUGACGUCCGAAGAGAUCCCCAAGGCCCGCGCACCUUGCGUGGAACGAGAGUCCGCCGACGCCCCGCGCCUCGUUGAACAACCGGUGUACUUCAUCAGCAUGGUGCUUCGGGAUGCGCGCAUGUAUUACUCUAUGCAGCAGAAGCUCCUCCUCGCUCUCCUGGUCGCCUGGAGGAAGUUGCGCCACUAUUUCCAGGGCCACCCCAUAAAGGUCAUAUCCACAUACCCCCUAGAGAGGAUAUUGCGCAGCCCUAACACCGCCGACAGGGUUGCCGAAUGGAACAUCGAGUUGCAGGCCUUCCAGCUGGAGUUCAGCAUGACCGGGGUAAUCAAGGGAGUAGCACUCACCAACUUCGUGGCAGAGUGGACAGACGCGUGCGACCAAGAGCUGUGUGAGGAUCGAUCCUUGGUGUCGGGCGAUAAGGUGCCCGAUGGCUGGGUCAUGCACUUCGAUGGAGCCUUCGCACGGCGAGGCACGGGAGCUGAGGUCAUGCUCAUCUCCCCGACCAAUGAUAAGCUCCACUAUGUCGUCCAGCUAUGCUUUCAACACGGCGAAAAGGUCUCCAACAACACCGUGGAGUAUAAGGGCUUGAUCGCUGGGCUCAAAGCCGCGGCCGCCCUAGGGGUCAAGCGCCUCACCAUCAAGGGCGACUCCCAGCUCCUUGUCAACUUUUCCAACAAGGAGUACAAGCCAAAGUACAAGCACAUGGCGGCAUACCUGGAGGAGGUACGUAAAAUCAAGAAACAAUUCUUGGGUUUGGAAUUGCAGCACGUCCCGAGGGGCGCGAACAAGGAAGCAGACGACAUCACCAAACAGGCAUCGCAAUGUGAGCCUCAGAGCCCAGGUGUCUUCGAGGAAAGGCUCUUCUGGCCAUCAUCCGCACCCCCGACGUCGGGGACGGUGAUGCCUCGGGAGGAGCUACCCCACACGCCACCAGUGUGCGGCCCAACCACAAGGACCCUCCUGCUCCUGGCGAUGGAGCCUUAGAGGGACAACUAGGACCAAGAGUUUGAGGCGUACUUACUCCAUGGCAUUCUGCCUAAGAAGGAGGAGGACGCGGAGCACGUGGCCCGCCAGGCCACCGCCUACUGCUUGCGGGAUGGCAAGCUGUACCGAAGGUGCCCCAACGACAUCUCGUUCAGGUGCAUUUCAGAAGAUCAAGGGCACGAGCUGUUGGCAGAUAUCCACGGGGAGAUUGCGGGCAUCAGUCGUCGGCACGCACCCUCGUGGGAAAGGUAUUCCGCAGCGGGUUCUACUGGCCUACGGCGCUCCACGACGCGACCGAGCUGGUCCGAUCUUGCGAGGCCUGCAAGUCCAUGCAAAGCAGAUCCAUCAGCCGGCGCAGGGGCUCUAGACCAUCCGGCUCUUGUGGCCUUUCGUGGUCUGGGGUUGGACAAACUGGGCCCAUUCCCCAGGGUGCUUGGGGGCUACCGCUAUGUCACCAUCGACAAGUUCACCAAGUUGGCGAAGGUGGAUCCGGUGCGCACCAUCCCCGCGGGAUCGGCCGUCAAGUUCAUCAAGGGCCUCGUGACCUGUUUGGUGUCCCCAACCACAUCAUCACUGACAAUGGCUCACAAGCAAUCUUUUCAGGUCAUAUUGUGCUAACCUUGGAACACAGAUACGCUACGCUUCGGUGAUCCACCCGAGGAGCAAUGGCCAGGCUGAGCAUGCCAAUGCAGAGGUCCUGAGGGGCCUCAAAACCAGAAGCUUCAAGAAGAAGCUCGAGGCAUGCGGCAGCGGUUGGCUUGAUGAGCUGCAGUCCACGUUGUGGUCUAUCCGCACCACCGCGACUAAACCCACCAGCAAGACCUCGCUCUACCUCGUCCACGGGGCAGAGGCGGUCCUUCCGCUUGAGAUCAAGCAUCAUUCCCCGUGGGUCUUGGCGUCUGACGAGGCGCGUCAUGAUGCCUCUCGGGGGACUGAUAUUGUGCUCGGAGAGGAGGCCCGCCACCAAGCCUCUCUCCGAGCCGCAAGGUACCAGCAGGCAUUGCGGCGCUACCACUGCCGCAACAUCCGCCCCCGAACCCUCGAAGUUGGUGACCUCGUCCUGUGAUGGGACCUCUCCAGGGAGGGCCUUCAUAAGCUCUCUCCCAUGUGGGUGGGCCCAUUUAGGGUCGCCCGCGUCUCUAGGCCUGGCGUCGCGCACCUGGAGUUGGAGGACGGGGUCCCCUUCCAGAAUGUCUGGAACAUCCAGCAUCUCCGCAAGUUCUACCCUUGACACUUUCACGUAAUAAUGAGUGGGGUUGUACACGCUCUGGAGUCUCCCGGUGUGCUGUUUUGUGGCCUCGCAGGAACUCCCACCCACGCCCAAGUGGAAGCCCCAUGCUCCGCGCUGGCGGACAACACAGUCGAACAGCGACUAUACCCACGCCCAACUGGAGGCCCCGUGCUCCGCUCUAGUGGGAAGACUAGCUUAGGCGCCGAACACGGUUGUUCUUUCAUUCUGUUGUAACCAAAUUUGCCUCUUCUGGGAAUGAAGUUGGAAGUUUUCGCGUCUUUAUUCGAAAGGGGUCGCAAUUUUUUUCCUUGCAUGUUUUCCUUCUUGCAUCUCGCUUUUAAAGGGCGUGACAGCUGCCAGUUGCUCCCUCUCGCGCGUCCUGUGAGCGGAGGUUGGACACGGUGUGUACGCUCGAGCCAGCCCUGGCAUCCUUGAGGCCUAGGCCACGACAGCCGCAGGUCCGCCCGUGCGCACACCUCGCCAAGACUUUGGCGUCUGAAUCCUUGUGUGACGCUCUCGAGCGAGCCAACAGGCACUUGUUGCCUUCGGCCCUGGCCUCACGAGCGCUCACCUCCUGGCCUUGCCAGGCAUCGCGACCCGGCUACCAGCAGCAAUCGACCCUCGCUCGGGAGCUCUAGAUGCAGGAUGGGCAUCAAGGAAGGGUGGCCUGGUAAAACACAAUCACGGUCAGGCACAUCGUUAAGGAGUCCUUCGCCAAGUGUUUUUGCAUCUCCACGAGGCUCGAUGCCAGAUGGAGGCGCCUCCAGAGGCCCUGAAUCCUCGCAAGUCCACCAGGGGCCUCGCGAGCCACGAGCCCCUCGANNNNNNNNNNNNNNNNNNNNNNNNNNNNNNNNNNNNNNNNNNNNNNNNNNNNNNNNNNNNNNNNNNNNNNNNNNNNNNNNNNNNNNNNNNNNNNNNNNNNNNNNNNNNNNNNNNNNNNNNNNNNNNNNNNNNNNNNNNNNNNNNNNNNNNNNNNNNNNNNNNNNNNNNNNNNNNNNNNNNNNNNNNNNNNNNNNNNNNNNNNNNNNNNNNNNNNNNNNNNAGCAUCGCGCCGAAAUGAGGGAUCAAAAGCUUCGCAGGAGCACGCCCCCACGACGCAGGAACCCUCCAACAGCCAUGAGCGCACCAGGCUAAGUUAUUCUAAUCGUGCUAGGCAGGAACCUUUCAGUUAAUGGUGAUAAAUGCUACAAUAUGAGCAGGAAACAAUAAUAUAAAGGUGCAAGCGCCGCAGUUCAAUACACGCCCCCGCGGGGCUCUCCACAACUCUUGAUGCAGGAAAUAAAAACACAGCAAAAGAAGCGGCCUCCUAAAGGCCACUCCUCCUGAAGCCCGGCUCCGGUGCCGCCCAUGCUCAGUCGGAGUCCUCCUCAUCCUUGAGAGGGGCACGGCGAUGUGGUGGCUCAUCGUCCUACUGGACCCGGGCGCGGCGGCUCGUCGUAGUCUUCAUUACUCGAGCUUCCCUCGCAGGAGGCGCCGCUGCUGCUGGUGGUGUCGCAGCCGUUGCCAAGGUCAAGUUCACCGCCGCGAUGAUCAUCAUUGUCGGAGAAGCGGUCGUCGUCGCUGCUGUCACCCUCCGGGCAGCACCCUAGGCGCCCGCCGUCCUUGCCAAAGAUCCUGACGAAGAGCAUUGCCACCUCGUCGUAAUUCAAGUGGAGGGUGUUCCUUCCCGUCAAACCGCGAGCGCAGGCAAACGUCUGCCACCCGUGGGUCAGGUACACCAGGCCCGAUGAGGUAACCUCAACCUCCGCCCAAGAGGACCGGUUGCAGGAACCAUCGGGCUACAGCCACAGCCCGGUGAGUCCUCCGGCCGGCAGCUCCUCGGCGAAGGAGCGUGCUACUUCUUGAGCUUGUGUUGGUUUCUCCCUUGAAGAGGAAAGGGUGAUGCAGCAAAGUAGAGUAAGUAUUUCCCUCAGCUUUUGAGAACCAAGGUAUCAAUCUAGUAGGAGAUAACACUCAAGUCACCGAAUACAUGCACAAACAAACACCAACUUGCACCCAACGUGAUAAGGGGUUGUCAAUCCCUUCACGGUUAUUUGCAAAGUGAGAUCUUAUAGAGAAGGAUAAACGGUAGAGUAAUAUUUUUGGUAUUUUUGGUUUAUGGAACAGAAAGUAAAAGAUUGCAAAGUAAGUAAAUAGGAAACAAAAAUUGUAGAUCAAAAACUUAUAUGAUGUAAAAUAGACCCAGGGGCCAUAGGUUUCACUAGAGGCUUCUCUCGAGAUAGAAAUUAUUACAGUGGGUGAACAAAUUACUGUCGAGCAAUUGAUAGAAAAACGCAAAGUUAUGACGAUAUCUAAGGCAAUGAUCAUGAAUAUAGGCAUCACGUCCGUGUCAAGUAGACCGAAAUGAUUAUGCAUCUACUACUAUUACUCCACACAUCGAUCGCUAUCCAGCAUGCAUCUAGAGUAUUAAGUUCAUAAAGAAGGGAGUAACGCAUUAGGCAAGAUGACAUGAUGUAGAGGAAUUAACUCAAGCAAUAUGAUGAAAACCCAUCUUUUUAUCCUUUAUGGCAACAAUACAAUACGUGCCUUGCUGCCCCUACUAUAACUGGGAAAGGACACCACAAGAUUGAACCAAAAGCAAAGCACUUCUCCCAUUGUAAGAAAAACCAAUCUAGUUGGCAAAACCAAAUUGGUAGCUCAAAUAGACUUGCAAAGAUAUCAAAUCAUGCAUAAGAAUUCAGAGAAGAUUCAAAUAAUAUUCAUAGAUAAGCUUGAUCAUAAAUCCACAAUUCAUCGGAUCUCGGCAAACACACCGCAAAAGAGUAUUACAUCUAACAGAUCUUCAAGAACAUCGGGGAGAACUUUGUAUUGAGAAUCAAAGAGAGAGAAGAAGCCAUCUAGCUACUAUCUAUGGACCCGUAGGUCUGUGGUAAACUACUCACGCUUCAUCGAAGAGGCAACGGUGUUGAUGUAGAAGCCCUCCGUGAUCGAAUCCCCCUCCGACAGGAUGCCGGAAAAGGCCCCAAGAUGGAAUCUCACUGGUACAGAAGGUUGUGGCGGUGGAAAACUGGUUUCGUUGCUCCCCUGGAUGUUUUUAGGGUAUAAGAGUAUAUAUAGGAGGAAUAUCUAGGUCAGGGGAUCCUCAAGGGGCCCACAAGGUUGGGGGGCGCGCCCUCCACCCUUGUGGUUGCCUCGAGGCUCUUUUGACUUGCACUCCAAGUCUCGCGGGUGUCUUCUGGUCCAAGAAAAAUCAUGGCGAAAGUUUUAUUCCGUUUGGACUUCGUUUGGUAUUCUUUUCUGCGAAACUCUAAAACAAGGAAAAAACAGAAACUGGCACUGGGCUCUAGGUUAAUAGGUUAGUCCCAAAAAUCAUAUAAAAUAGCAUAUUAAUGCAUAUAAAACAUCCAAAAUAGAUAAUAUAAUAGCAUGGAACAAUCAAAAAUUAUAGAUACGUUGGAGACGUAUCAAGCAUCCCCAAGCUUAAUUCCUGCUCGCCCUCGAGUAGGUAAAUGAUAAAAACAAAAUUUUUUGAUGUGGAAUGCUACCUAACAUAUUUAUCCAUGUAAUUAUCUUUAUUGUGGCAUGAAUGUUCAGAUCCGUAAGAUUCAAACCAAAAGUUUAUAUUGAUAUAAAAACAAUAAUACUUCAAUCAUACUAACAAAAGAAUUAUGUCUUCUCAAAAUAACAUGGCCAAAGAAAGCUUAUCCCUACAAAAUCAUAUAGUCUGGCUAUGCUCCAUCUUCAUCACACAAAACAUUUAAAUCAUGCACAUCCCCGAUGACAAGCCAAGCAAUUAUUUCAUACUUUUGAUGUUCUCAAACUUUUUCAACUUUCACGCAAUACAUCAGCGUGAGCCAUGGACAUAGCACUAUAGGUGGAAUAGACGGUGGUUGUGGAGAAGACAAAAAGAAGGAGAUAGUCUCACAUCAACAAGGUGUAUCAACGGGCUAUGGAGAUGCCCAUUAAUAUAUAUAUAUAUAUAUAUAUAUAUAUAUAUAUAUAUAUAUAGGGAUUGACUAUUCGUCACCCUGGGUGAGAAAUAAUUAUUCUUCACCCCCCUCUAAUUUACCAUCAAUGCACCGUAAUUUUACGUUCCGUAAGUUUUUUCUUAUUUUCGAUGUAAAAAGAGACUGUAAGAAAACAUAUAGUCGCCGUAAAAAAUAUUUUAUGUUAUAUAAAAUUACAAACGUAAAAACAUAGUGUAAAAUAUACAUAAACUACAAAUUUUCUUGUCUUAUGACCUACAUUUUUUUUCUUAUGCCAAAUUUUACGUAGUGAAUCAAUAGGAAUGUAACUAUUUGAAUUUCAAAUGUAAUUUAUUUAGGAAGUGAUCGUAAGAUUACCUCGGGUGAAGAAUAACUUAUUCUGCACCUGGGUGAUGAAUAGUAACACUAUAUAUAUAUAUAUAUAUAUCAAUGUGAGUGAGUAGGGAUUGCCAUGCGACGGAUGCACUAGAACUAUAAGUUUAUGAAAGCUCAAAAAAGAAAACUAAGUGGGUGUGCAUCCAACUUGCUUGCUCAUGAAGACCUAGGGCGUUUGAGGAAGCCCAUAGUUGGAAUAUACAAGCCAAGUUCUAAAAUGAAAAAUUCCCACUAGUAUAUGAAAGUGAUAUCAUAGGAGACUCUCUAUCAUGAAGAUCAUGGUGCUACUUUGAAGCACAAGUGUGGCAAAAAGGAUAGUAACAUUGUCCCUUCUCUCUUUUUCUCUCAUUUGUUUUCUCUUUUUUUUUCUUUUUUUCUCUUUUUUUUGGGCCUUCUAUUUUCUUAUUUGGCCUUUCUCUUUUUUUCCUCACAUGGGACAAUGCUCUAAUAAUGAAGAACAUCACACUUCUAUUUACUUACAACUCAAGAAUUACAACUUGAUACUAGAACAAAAAAUAUGACUCUAUGUGAAUGCCUCCGACGGUGUACUAGGAUGUGCAAUGAAUCAAGAGUGACAUGUAUAAAAAAUAUGAAGAAUAGUGGCUUUGCCAUAAAUACGAUGUCAACUACAUGAUCAUGCAAAGCAAAAUGACAAUGAUGAUGUAUGUCAUAGUAAAUGGAAUAGUGGAAAGUUGCAUGGCAAUAUAUCUCGGAAUGGCUAUGGAAAUGCCAUAAUAGGUAGGUAUGGUGGCUGUUUUGAGGAAGGAUAUGUGGUGGGUUUAUUGUACCGGCGAAAGUUGCGCGGUAAAAGUGAGGCUAGCAAUGGCGGAAAGGUGAGAGUGCGUAUAAUCCAUGGACUCAACAUUAGUCAUAAAGAACUCAUAUACUUAUUGCAAAAAUAUAUUAGUCAUCAAAACAAAGUACUACGCGCAGGCUCCUAGGGGGAUAGAUUGGUAGGAAAAGACCAUCGCUCGUCCCCAACCGCCACUCAUAAGGAAGACAAUCAAAAAACAUCUCAUGCUCCAACUUCGUUACAUAACGGUUCACCAUACGUGCAUGCUACGGGACUCACAAACUUUAACACAAGUAUUUCUCAAAUUCACAACUACUCACUAGCAUGACUCUAAUAUCACCAUCCUCAUACCUCCAAACAAUCAUUAGGAAUCAAACUUCUCAUAGUAUUCAACGCACUUUAUAUGAAAGUUUUUAUUAUAUCCUUCUUGGAUGCCUAUCAUAUUAGGACUAAUUUUAUAACCAAAGCAAAUUACCAUGCUGUUUAAAGACUCUCAAAAUAAUAUAAGUGAAGUACGAGAGUUCAUCAAUUUAUAUAAAAUAAAAACCACCGCCAUGCUCUAAAAAGAUAUAAGUGAAGCACUAGAGCAAAAUUGCCUAGUUCAAAAGAUAUAAGUGAAGCACAUCGAGUAUUCUAAUAAAUCAAGAUUCAUGUGUGUCUCUCUCAAAAGGUGUGUACAGCAAGGAUGAUUGUGUCAAAAUAAAAAGCAAAGAAUCAAAUCAUACAAGAGCUCCAAGCAAAAUACAUAUCAUGUGGUGAAUAAAAAUAUAGCCUCAAGUAAGGUUACUGAUAGACGAAGACGAAAGAGAGGAUGCCUUCCCGGGGCAUCCCCAAGCUUAGGCUUUUUGACAUCCUUGAAUAUUACCUUGGGGUGCCUUGGGAAUCCCCAAGCUUAGGCUCUUUCCACUCCUUUUUCCGUAGUCCAUCAAAUCCUUACCCAAAACUUGAAAAUUUCACAACACAAAACUCCAACAGAAAAUCUCAUAAGCUUCAUUAGUAUAAGAAAAUAAAUCACCACUUUAGGUACUAUUGUGAACUCAUUCUUUAUUUAUAUUGGUGUAAUAUCUAAUGUAUUUCAAUUUUUCCAUGGUUCAUACCCCCCGAUACUAGCCAUAGAUUCAUCAAAAUAAGCAAACAACACGUGAAACACAGAAUCUGUCAAAAACAGAACAGUCUGUAGCAAUCUGGAUAGUUCGCAUACUUCUGUAACUCUAAAAAUCCUGAGAAAAUAGGAAGUCCUGUUUAUUAAUCUUCUGCAAAAAGAAUCAACUAAAAAGCACUCUCCAGCUAAAAAUAAGAAUUGUUUUUGUGAGAGCAAAAGUUUCUGUUUUUCGGCAAGAUCAAAUCAACUAUCACCGUAGGCUAUCCCAUAGGUCUUACUUGGCACAAACAGUAAUUAAAACAUAAAGACACAUCUAACCAGAGGCUAGAUGAUUUAUUCAAAGCAAAACAGAACCUAAAAAGCAAAAAAAAAAAAUUGGGCUGCCUCCCAACGAGCACUAUUGUUUAACGCCCCUAGCUAGGCAUAAAACAUGAAUAGAUCUAAGUGUUAUCAUCUUUCGCAUGCAAUCCAUAAGUGGCUCUCAUAAUAGAUUCAUAAGGAAACUUAAUUUUCUUUAUUGGAAAGUGUUCCAUGUCUUUCCUUAACGGAAAUUGAAAUCUAAUGUUUCCUUCUUUCAUAUCAAUAAUUGCACCAAUCGUUCUAAGGAAAGGUCUACCAAGAAUAAUAGGACAUGUAGGAUUGCAAUCUAUAUCAAGAACAAUGAAAUCUACGGGCACAUAAUUCCUAUAUGCAACAAUAAAAACAUCAUUAAUUCUUCCCAUAGGUUUCUUAAUAGUGGAAUCCGCAAGAUGCAAAUUUAAGGAACAGUCAUCAAAUUCACGGAAACCUAACACAUCGCAUAAAGUUUUCGGAAUCGUGGAAACACUAGCACCCAAAUCACACAAAGCAUAGCAUUCAUAAUCUUUAAUCUUAAUCUUAAUAGAAGGUUCCCACUCAUCAUAAAGUUUUCUAGGAAUAGAAACUUCCAAAUUAAGCUUUUCUUCGUAAGAUUGCAUCAUAGCAUCAACGAUAUGUUUAGUAAAAGCUUUGUUUUGAUUAAAAGCAUGAGGAGAAUUCAACAUGGAUUGCAACAAGGAAAUACAAUCUAUUAAAGAACAAUUAUCAUAAUUAAAUUCCUCUAAAUCCAAAAUAGUGGGUUCAUUGCUAUCUAAAGUUUUGACCUCUCCAUCCCACUUUUAUCAAUUUUUGCAUCAAGAUCAAAAAACUCCGAAUUAUUGGGACACCUUCUACCUAAAGUUGACUCAUCUAGAAUCCCAUAUUUAUCAAGAUUUACAUUGGAAAACAAAUAUUCAAUAGGAGUCACGUCAAUCAUGUAAAUAUCUUCAUUAUUAUUCUCACGGAAACUAGAAGAACACGUUUUUAUAAACCAAUCCUUUUUAGCGUGCAUCUUAGCGGUUCUUUCUUUGCAUUCCUCAAUGGAAAUUCUCGUGGCCUUGAGAGACUCAUUGAUAUUAUGCUUCGGUGGAAUUGAUCUAAGUUUCAAAGAAUCAACAUCAAGAGAAAUUAUAUCCACGUUCCUAGCCAAAUCAUCAUUCUUAAGCAAUUUUUCUUCAAUCAAAGCAUUGAAAUUCUUUUUCUAACUUAUAAAUUCUUUAGCACUAUUAUCAAAUUCAGAGGGCAUCUUAUUAUAAUUUCCAUAAGAAUUGUUGUAGGAAUUACCAUAAUUAUUAGAGGAAUUACUAGGAAACGGCCUAGGAUUAAAAUUUCCUCUAUAUGCGUUAUUACCAAAAUUGUUCCUACCAACAAAAUUCACAACCAUAGAUUCAUUAUUGUUUUCAAUCAGAGUAGACAAAGGCAUAUCAUUAGGAUCAAUAGGAGCACUCUUACUAGCAAAAAAUUUCAUAAGCUCAUCCAUCUUUCCACUCAAAACAUUUAUUUCUUCAAUCGCAUGCACCUUUUUACUAGUAGAAGAUCUUUCGGUAUGCCAUUGAGAAUAAUUAACCAUAAUUUUAUCUAGGAGUUUAGUAGCUUCUCCUAAAGUAAUUUCCAUAAAAGUUCCUCCCACGGCCGAGUCUAAAAGAUUUCUAGAAGCAAAAUUCAAUCCGGCAUAAAAAAUUUGUAUAAUCAUCCACAAAUUCAAACCAUGAGUAGGGCAAUUUGUAAUCAUCAAUUUCAUCCUCUCCCAAGAUUGUGCAACAUGUUCAUGAUCAAGCUGCUUAAAAUUCAUAAUAUCGUUCCUAAGGGAGAUGAUCUUAGCAGGAGGGAAGUACUUGGAAAUGAAAGCAUCUUUACACUUAUUCCAUGAAUCAAUACUAUUUUUAGGCAAAGAUGAAAACCAAGUUUUAGCGCGAUCUCUAAGUGAGAACGGAAAUAGCUUCAACUUAACAAUAUCAUUAUCCACAUAUUUUUCCUUUUGCAUAUCACACAAAUCAACGAAAUUAUUAAGAUGGGAUGCGGCAUCUUCAUUGGGAAGGCCGGAAAAUUGAUCUUUCAUAACAAGAUUCAGCAAAGCAGUAUUAAUUUCACAAGAUUCCACAUUAGCAUCAGGAGCAAUCGGAGUACUAAUAAAAUCAUUAUUAUUGGUGUUGGAAAAGUCACACAAUUUGGUAUUAUAUUGAGCCAUCGCGACAAACCAAGCAAUCCAACACAUGAGUACACGAAAAGCAAGCGAAGAAGACGAACGGAAGAGGGGCGAAGAAAAGGCAAAUCUUUUCGAAGAUCGUUUUAGAAGUGGGGGAGAGGAAAACGAGAGGCGAAUGGCGAAUAAUGUAAUGCGAGGGAUGAGAGUUUAUGAUGGGUACUUGGUAUGUCUUGACUUGGCAUAGAUCUCCCCGGCAAUGGCGCCAGAAAUUCUUCCUACUACUUCUUGAGCUUGCGUUGGUUUUUCCCUUGAAGAGGAAAGGGUGAUGCAGCAAAGUAGAGUAAAUAUUUCCCUCAGCUUUUGAGAACCAAGGUAUCAAUCCAGUAGGAUAUAACGCUCAAGUCACUGAAUACAUUCACAAACAAACACCAACUUGCACCCAACGAGAUAAGGGGUUGUCAAUCCCUUCACGGUUAUUUGCAAAGUGAGAUCUGAUAGAGAUGGAUAAACGGUAAUAUUUUUGGUAUUUUUUGUUUAUGGAACGGAAAGUAAAAGAUUGCAAAUAAAGUAAAUAGCAAACUAAAAUUGUAGAUCGGAAACUUAUAUGACGUAAAAUAGACCCGGGGCCAUAGGUUUCACUAGAGGCUUCUCUCAAGAUAGAAAUUAUUACGGUGGGUGAACAAAUUACUGUCGAGCAAUUGAUAGAAAAGUGCAAAGUUAUGGCGAUAUCUAAGGCAAUGAUCAUGAAUAUAGGCAUCAAGUCUGAGUCAAGUAGACUGAAACGAUUCUGCAUCUACUACUAUUACUCCACACAUCGAUCUCUAUCCAGCAUGCAUCUAGAGUAUUAAGUUCAUAAAGAAUGGAGUAACACAUUAGGCAAGAUAACAUGAUGUAGAGAAAUUAAUUCAAGCAAUAUGAUGAAAACCCCAUCUUUUUAUCCUCGAUGGCACCAAUACAAUACAUGCCUUGCUGCCCCUACUGUCACUGGGAAAGGACGCCGCAAGAUUGAACCCAAAGCUAAGCACUUCUCCCAUUGCAAGAAAAACCAAUCUAGUUGGCCAAACCAAAUCGAUAGUUAGAGACUUGCAAAGAUAUCAAACCAUGCUUAGAAGAAUUCAGGGAAGAUUCAAAUAAUAUUCAUAGAUAAUCUUGAUCAUAAGUCCACAAUUCUUUGAAUCUCGGCAAACACACCGCAAAAGAGUAUUACAUCGAAUAGAUCUCCAAGAACAUCGAGGAGAACUUUGUAUUGAGAAUCAAAGAGAGAGAAGAAGUCCUCUAGCUACUAGCUAUGGACUCGUAGGUCUGUGGUAAACUACUCACGCUUCAUCGAAGAGGCAACGGUGUUGAUGUAGAAGCCCUCCGUGAUCGAAUCCCCCUCCGGCAGGAUGCCGGAAAAGGCCCCAAGAUGGAAUCUCACUGGUAUAGAAGGUUGCGGCGGUGGAAAAGUGGUUUCGUUGCUCCCCUGGAUGUUUUUAGGGUAUAAGAGUAUAUAUAGGAGGAAGAUCUAGGUCAGGGGAUCCUCGAGGGGCCCACAAGGUUGGGGGGCGCGCCCUCCACCCUUGUGGUCGCCUCGAGGCUCUUCUGACUUGCACUCCAAGUCUCCUGGGUGUCUUCUGGUCCAAGAAAAAUCAUGGCGAAAGUUUUAUUCCGUUUGGACCGUUUGGUAUUCCUUUUCUGUGAAACUCUAAAACAAGGAAAAAAUAGAAACUGGCACUGGGCUCUAGGUUAAUAGGUUAGUCCCAAAAAUCAUAUAAAAUAGCAUAUUAAUGCAUAUAAAACAUCCAAAACAGAUAAUAUAAUAGCAUGGAACAAUCAAAAAUUAUAGCUAUGUUGGAGACAUUUCAGGGCGCGGGUGCUGGAUCGAUGUGCCGGGCGGACCCUCCACCCACACCACAAACUCGCGGGCUGUGUCGUCCGAGCGAGCCCGCGGGCGAGGUGGUCGGACGGCCACCUCGUGCCUCCCUCCUCGGCCCCUUCCUCUGUAGCUUCCAUGGCCGCCCUCGUGGGAAGGAUCCUUCCCGCGACUACUGGAGCCGGUGUGGACCCCGAGCGGAGCACGCUCGCACCGGAGAGGGGCCGCCGCAGGCAUCGCGGUGGCCUUGUGAGGGAGGUCACGCCCUCUCUUCGACGGGGGCAGCUCCGGCUCUUCCCGUGGCGCCUUCCCCUUCACAGCGGCGGAAAACCUUCUCAGCAGCGCCAUGGCUGCUUUGACGGAAGUGUGGAAUGGAGGAGCAAGAAGAUGGAGAUGGGUUCGGGCUCCGCUCCCUGUGCCUUCUUAUAGGCGAUCGGAGAAAGCCAACCGGCGUCCCUUCGUAUUCGAGCAAUGAUGGCUCCACGGCGCGCGCCAGGCUUUUUGUCAGCCUGGGCAGUUGCCGAGGCGACGUGGGGAAGCAGAGGCAUCCGCGUCCCGUCGUGCGCCACGCGUCAAGCCUGGCCCGCGGGUGGUUAGGGGUCGCGUCAAUUUUUCCUUCUUUCCUUGGCUUCGCCUCGAAGCCAUCCCGAGCGCACCUUGGGCCCGGGGGCUACUGUCGGCGUUCUGGGAUCGGGGGUACCCAAACUUGCCUACCUGCAGCCCAGCACGCGGCCUCAUCGACGGCCCAGUACGGCCCAGCUACAAGACCCCCAAGACAAGACCCUCGCGAGGGCCCCCGGCCUCACGAGGCGGAUGACACCAAGACAUCUCGAGGGGCCACUCCCCGAGCCUGCCUUCCGAGGAGCGGAGACUUCUACGCAGGUACCCAGCCUCACCAGGCUCUCGAUGCCGGAUGCCAUGACGACCAAGGUCAGGCGGGCGCCAGCGGGCACAGAGGAGGAAAGUUUCCUCUUUGGUUCUAAGGAAGCAAGGACGUAUGUGGGUUCCCAAGGAAUCCCCUAAAGGUUUCCAUUCCGGUGCAAGGAGACCAAGACCACGAGCUCGGCAGGACGGAUGCCAUCGCCGAGCCCACCUUUGUGUCACGGCCAGAAGCUUUCAGGCGAAGACCACCUUUCGUCAGGAUAAGAUGUACUUCUUGUCCCCUUUAAAAUUUUCCAUUGUGGGAUCCCUUCUCGCCUAAGCUAUGGGAGAAGAGGAAUAAGGCCACCAUAAGUAUAGGCUAGUCUCCACCAUAGAGAGGGAUCAGAUCCAUUCCACCUUCAUCCACUAUACUAGUUCAUCCACAACCUCCUCGUGAGGCCAAUCCACCACAAAGCAGGAGUAGGGUUUUACACCGCAAGGUGCCCAAACCUGGGUAAACUGUCGUAUUCUUCCUUCCCCGCUCGCAUGAACUCGAUGAGGCAAGGCCGUGAGGUGAUGAGCUUGAGGCUGGAGCUGGUUUAGAUCUUCGCACGCGCCCCAGAGCUCGAACCUUGUUGGGUCCAUGGAGCCCCGAUUCCGACAGCCACAUCCACCUACAACAUCUACAUGGUGGACACCCCCAAGGACGACGGCGACGGUGCUAAUGGGGACGGCACCCCUAGAGGGGAUGCUAACAAUCCUGGAGAGGAGCCCCCCAAACGCCGAAGACAACACCAACGAUCCAAGGGGUGACCUAGUAGGGAAAGCAACACGGGCAGCGAAUGGGCCUAUAGCCUAGUGGUUGUAGCGACCUUAGUAGCACCCCAGGUCCUGGGUUUGACUGCCAGUGGGAGUGGAUUUAAAACAGAUCUGGGCAAAAAAAUUCUAGAAUAAAAGGAUUGUGGGUCUGUUUCUCUACAGUAAAUAGUCAAAAAAAGCAACACGGGCACCAAAGAAGGUGACACUCCGGACAACGUGGAAGACCUCAGUGACCCCGCCCCCGAGCACCAGUCUGAUGGCUCAAAAGGGCAUGAGGAUCAGGAUAACCCUGAGGACCCUCGCGAUUCCGGAGACAGCAAUUAUAUGCCCCUCUCCAAAGAAGAGAUCAGCCUCGGAGCCGAGGAUUUCAUCGUCCCAGAAGAUCCAUUGGAUCAGGAGCGCUUCAAGCGACAUCUUAUAGCCACCGCACGAAGCCUAAAGAAGUAGGAGCAAAAGAUAAAGGCCGAACAAGCUACCCUCAAUGACAGAUGGACCAAGGUCCUAGCAGCUGAAGAAGGGUACAGCUAUGAACAGCAAAUGAAGAGCUACCCCAAGCGCAGGUUGUUGCCACAAUUCGACGACGAGGCUUUCAAGGCUGCACCACCCAAACAAACGCGAGGCGACAAGCCUGACCGCCCCCCUUGAGGAAGGGACGGGCCAGCUAGGGAGGCCGAACACCUACCUGCUCCUCCCCGCCGUAAAGUCAAGGAGGCAGCACCGCCAAAAUAUCAAUACAAUCUUCAGCACGACCUGGCUGUUAGAGCAAGCCAGUCGCCGUCCAUCUAUGGAUCAAAAGAAUACCCCCCCAGAAGGAAGAUACAGAUACCAAGCGUGGCUCGACCGAAACGACAGAGUUCGGGAACAACAUCGGGCCAGGAUGGAAUCCGAGGUUCGACGCGAUGUGGCCCAAAUAAGGGGCGCCACUCACCCAAUGUGCUCCAUCGAUGAGGUGAUGCGGCACCAAUUCCCGGAAGGGUUCAAUCGAGCCGUACGAUGGAACUACGGAUCCAGCAGUGUUGUAAUGCCCACGAUGUGGCUAUAUCUCCCACGUGUCGAGGCACGACUUAGAGGCAUAACCGCAUUGUAGGUAUUGUCACAAGAAGGGUCAUCUUCACACAAUCCCAUGUAAUGAACAAGAAUGGGAUAAAGAGAGUUGGCUUACAAUCGCCACUUCACACAAUACAUAAAUUAAAUUCAUACAUCAUCCAAAAUCCGCACAUAGACCGACUACGGUCAAAUCCAAAAGAAAGGAAGAUAACCCCAAAUGCUAGAUCCCCGAUCGUCCCAACUGGGCUCCACUACUGAUCAUCAGGAAACGAAACAUAGUAACGACCACGUUCCUCGUCGAACUCCCACUUGAGCUCGGUUGCGUCAUCCGCACUGGUAUCGUCGGCACCUGCAACUGUUUUGGUAGAAUCUGUGACUCACGAGGACUCAGCAAUCUCACACCCACGAGAUCAAGACUAUUUAAGCUUGUAGGAAGGAUGGGGUAAUGAGGUGGAGCUGCAGCAAGCACUAAGCAUAUAUGGUGGCUAACAUACGCAAAUAAGAGCGAGAAGAGGAGCAACGCAACGGUCGCGAAGCUAGAAAUGAUCAAGAAGUGAUCCUAAAACUACUUACGUUCAUACAUAACCCAAACCGUGUUCACUUCCCGGACUCCACCGAAAAGAGACCAUCACGGCUACACACACGGUUGAUGUAUUUCAAUUAAGUCAAGUGUCAAGUUCUCUACAACCGGACAUUAACAAAUUCCCAUCUGCCACAUAACCGCGGGUACGGCUUUCGAAAGAUAAUACCCUGCAGGGGUGUCCCAACUUAGCCCAUUAUAAGCUCUCGCGGUCAACGAACGAUAAACCUUCUCCCGGGAAGUCCCGAUCAGUCUCGGAAUCUUGGUUUACAAGACAUUUCGACAAUGGUAAAACAAGACCAGCAAAGCCGCCCGAAUGUGCCGACAAAUCCUGAUAGGAGCUGCACAUAUCUCGUUCUCAGGGCACACCGGAUGGGCAAGACGUCGAGUUGGCAUAGACCCUGGUUGCCCAGGGGGCGCCGGACAUCGCCCGGUUUGGGCCAGCACUCGAAGGAGCACUGGUCCGAGGGUUUAAAUAAAGAUGACCCUCGGGCUCGCGAAAACCCAAGGGAAAAAGGCUUAGGUAGGCAAAUAUAAAACCAAGGUUGGGCCUUGCUGGAGGAGUUUUAUUCAAGGCGAACUGUCAAGGGGGUCCCAUAAAUCACCCAACCGCGUAAGGAACGCAAAAUCAAGGAACAUAACACCGGUAUGACGGAAACUAGGGCGGCAAGAGUGGAACAAAACACCAGGCAUAAGGCCGAGCCUUCCACCCUUUACCAAAUAUAUAGAUGCAUUAAUUAAAUAAGAGAUAUUGUGAUAUCCCAAAAUAUCCAUGUUCCAAGAUGGAACCCACUUCAACUUCACCUGCAACUAGCAACGCUAUAAGAAGGGUUGAGCAAAAGCGGUAACUUAGCCAAACAACGGUUUGUUAGGAAAGGAUGGUUAGAGGCUUGACAUGGCAAUAUGGGAGGCAUGAUAUAGCAAGUGGUAGGUAGCGCAGCAUAGCAAUAGAGCGAACAACUAGCAAGCAAAGAUAGAAGUGAUUUCGAGGGUAUGGUCAUCUUGCCUGCGAGGUUCUCAGAGUUGUCGAAAGCUUGAUCCUCGUAAGCAUACUCAACAGGUUCUUCGUUCACGAACUCGUGUCUCGGCUCUCCCACAGCAAGAACACAAGCAAUGGAACCACAAUCAAUCACGAGAAAUGCACAAGCAACAUGAUGCAAUACAUGCAUGAUAUGUGAGAUGUGAUAUGCGAUGCAUAUGCGUGCUCCGGAAGAAAAAGGAUGAACAAGGCAUCAACUUGGCAAACCAAGUAUGCCACUGGAAAGAUGAGAUGAUUUCGGUCGAAAUCUAUAUAAAGAUCACCGGAAACGGAUGCACGGUUUGCAAAUGGCAAGCAAAACAAGGAUGUCACAAUUCUGCGAUUAACAGCAUGAUAACACUUAGAAUACAUCAAGUAACUAUGCUACAGCACCCCAACAUAGCAACAAAGAAUAUGGCAGUGAUAUGCAAGAGAUGGUUGACAAAAGAUGAACACUGAGCUAUGGCUAGAUCACACAAUAAUAGGUUCUAACAAUCAUGGCAAAAGUGCAAAAGAUAUCAGCUUCACAGACUUGGUGAAAAUACUGAACAUGGCUGAAACAGCAUCAGGUAGCAAUGUUCAGAGCAAGCAAAACACAUGCUACCGGAACUUAUCAAAGCACAACAAGGCAUGGCAUAAAUAUACUAAAUUCAUAGAACAAAAGUCCCUUACUGAUCAUGAGCGAAAAAGGCACAGAAGAUAUGAUGGCACCUCUAUAAACAUAGCAAUUUUUAUUUCCAGAUUCAGACUUAGCAGAAAAUAGAGCAUGGCAUUAAUAGAAUUAUGAAGGCAUCUUUCCAAGCUCGAUUCACUCGUCACAAAGCAAUGCAUGACAAAACAAGCAUACCUACAGCAAGAAGACAUGUUCAUGAAGCUAAUCAUGGCAAGAGUAAGUUCAUAGCAUGCAUGUAUCACUAGUAACAUCCAUGGCAAAAUUGAAUAUCAUGUUAACAAUCUGCCAGGAACAUUUUAUAGCAAAAGUAGAGCAAGAUUAAGACAUGCUAGGGCACUCCAUAAUUACAAACAGGGUCAUGGAUGGAUAGAGCACAACUAUAUGUCUAAAACAUCCUUACUGAACAUACUCAAAAGAAGCAUGGAUCUCACUAUAGCCACAUGGAUACAUGGCAUCAAAAUAACAGCAGGAAAAGACUUGGCAAAAUUCCAAGUCACUGAAAACAGAAACAUCACGAAGCCUAGUUUGCAUGCUUGUGCUAGUCACCACAAAUAUCACAAAAAUACAUGGCAUACACCCCUGUAAAUAUGGCAUGGCAUAUAUCAAAACACAUGUAGAGCUCGUGCUCAUAAGAUGCACACAUCAAAUGCAACAAAAAUAACAAAACAUCAAGUUCUGAUAAGUAACAGCAGUAAACAUCAUAUAGCACUCUUGAAACGAAGAUUUAGGCAUCAAGAUGAGCUUAAACAGACAUGGCACAAUGGAACAAAAUGAAGAGCAUAACCUGAUGAACAUUUCGAUAUAUCAUGCGCAUGAAACGGAGUAGCACACAAAGAGUUAUGGCAUGAUGAACAUGGCAACAUAAUGUGAUAAUCUCAUGACAGGAUUUCGGGGUCAACCUUUUCCAGAUCUAGGGUUCUUCGUGGGCACGCGAACCGAGGCGGGGCCGGAGCUUCACCGGAGUUGGAGGAAGGGGCGGCCGGAGAAGAGCUUGGGGGAGGUCGUCGGGGUCGGGCCGGCCGGAUCCGGCGAGGGGGAGGCCGGGGCGCGCGAUAGAGCGGGCGGACACAGCGUGGAGGCGUGACGGAGGCNNNNNNNNNNNNNNNNNNNNNNNNNNNNNNNNNNNNNNNNNNNNNNNNNNNNNNNNNNNNNNNNNNNNNNNNNNNNNNNNNNNNNNNNNNNNNNNNNNNNNNNNNNNNNNNNNNNNNNNNNNNNNNNNNNNNNNNNNNNNNNNNNNNNNNNNNNNNNNNNNNNNNNNNNNNNNNNNNNNNNNNNNNNNNNNNNNNNNNNNNNNNNNNNNNNNNNNNNNNNNNNNNNNNNNNNNNNNNNNNNNNNNNNNNNNNNNNNNNNNNNNNNNNNNNNNNNNNNNNNNNNNNNNNNNNNNNNNNNNNNNNNNNNNNNNNNCCGCGCGGGGCGGCGCCGCCGAUCUGGGCCGGGAGGGCCUCCCACGGGCUUCGGCGGCGGGGGCGGCGAAGUGGGGCGCGGCUUGCCACGUGGCGGCGCGCGGUUGGACGAGGGGACGGCAGCGGAUGUGUCCGUCGGUGGAGGAGAAGGUGUCCGGCGACGCGAGGGGAAUUUAUAGGGUUUCCACCGUGAUCUUGGAGGGGAAGAGGCAUUUAUAUAGAUGGAGGGAGCUAGGAGACUCCAAAUGAGGAGCGGUUUUCGCCCACACGAUCACGAUCGAAUGACCGAGAGCAUGGAGGGGGCUUAGAUGGGUUAUUGGGCUAUUUGGAGGGGUGUUUGGCUGCAACACACAAAAGGCCUUUGCGGUUACCCGGUUAACCGUUGGAGCAUCGAACGACCUCCAAAUGGAACGAAACUUGACAAGUGGUCUACCGGUGGUGUACCAAGGCCACUUGGCAAACCUCGGUCCAUUCCGAGAACGUUUAACACCCGCUCACGAAAAGAGACAAGAGGGGUGCGUCGGUGCAUGUGGGAGUGUCAGAUUGCAAAACGAAAAACGGGGAAAAUGCUCGGAUGCAUGAGACGAACACGUAUGCAAAUGAGAUGCACAUGAUGACAUGAUAUGCAAUGCUUGACAUGAACAAAAUGCAAAACGAAAGACAAAACCUGACCAUGAAGGGAAUAUCAUAACACAUAGCCGAAAAUGGCAAGAGUUGGAGUUACAAAUAUGGAAAGUUACAUCCGGGGUGUUACAAGUGUGGAUUGAGGAUUUUCUUCUCCACAUUCAUAUGGCAUGGGGAGACUGUUGGGGAACGUAGUAUUUCAAAAAAAAAUUACCUACGAUCACGCAAGAUCUAUCUAGGAGAAGCAUAGCAACGAGCGGGGAGAGUGUGUCCACGUACCCUCGUAGACCGAAAGCGGAAGCGUUUAGUAACGUGGUUGAUGUAGUCGAACGUCUUCGUGAUCCAACCGAUCCAAGUACCGAACGUACGGCACCUCCGCGUUCAGCACACGUUCAGCUCAAUGACGUCCCUCGAUCUCUUGAUCCAGUUGACGAUGAGGGAGAGUUCCAUCAUAACGACGGUGUGGUGACGGGGAUGAUGAAGUUACCGGCGCAGGGCUUCGCCUAAGCACUACGACGAUAUGACCGAGGUGUGUAACUGUGGAGGGGGGCACCGCACACGGCUAAGACAAUUGUCUGUUGUGUCUUUGGGGUGCCCCCCUGCCCCUGUAUAUAAAGGAGGCGAGGAUGAGGCCGGCCAACAAGGGGCGCGCCAGGGAGAGGGGAGUCCUACUAGGACUCCAGUCCUAGUAGGAUUCGGCCCCACCCAUUUUUCCUUCUAUGGGAGGGGGAAAAGGGGAAGGAGAGGGAGUAGGAGAAGGAAAGGGGGUGGCGCCCCCUUCCCAAGUCCAAUUAGGCCUCCUCCCUUGUGGGGGGUGCACCAGCCCCUUGUGGGCUGGUUAGACUCCCACCUAUGGCCCAUAAGGCCCAUAUCUUUCCCCGGUGGGUUCCAGUAACCCCUCCAGUACUCCGGUAUGUACCCGAUACACUCCGGAACCCUUCCGGUGUCCGAAUACUACCCUCCAAUAUAUCAAUCUUUUCCUCUCGACCAUUUCGAGACUCCUCGUCAUGUCCGUGAUCUCAUCUGGGACUCCGAACAAACUUCGGUCAUCAAAUCACAUAACUCAUAAUACAAAUCAUCAUCGAACAUUAAGCGUGCGGACCCUACGGGUUCGAGAACUAUGUGGACAUGACGGAGACACAUCUCCGGUCAAUAACCAAUAGCGUAACCUGGAUGCUCAUAUUGGCUCCUACAUAUUCUACGAAGAUCUUUAUCGGUCAAACCGCAUAACAACAUACGUUGUUCCCUUUGUCAUCGGUAUGUUACUUGCCCGAGAUUCGAUCGUCGGUAUCAUCAUACCUAGUUCAAUAUCGUUACCGGCAAGUCUCUUUACUCGUUCCCUAAUGCAUCAUCCCGCAACUAACUCAUUAGUCACAUUGCUUGCAAGGCUUAUAGUGAUGAGCAUUACCGAGAGGGCCUAGAGAUACCUCUCUGAUACAUGGAGUGACAAAUCCUAAUCUCAAUCUAUGCCAACCCAACAAACACCAUCGGAGACACCUGUAGAGCAUCUUUAUAAUCACCCAGUUACGUUGUGACGUUUGAUAGCACACUAAGUGUUCCUCCGGUAUUCGGGAGUUGCAUAAUCUCAUAGUCAGAGGAACAUGUAUAAGUCAUGAUGAAAGCAAUAGCAAUAAAACUAAACGAUCAUUAUGCUAAGCUAAUGGAUGGGUCUUGUCCAUCACAUCAUUCUCUAAUGAUGUGAUCCCGUUCAUCAAAUGACAACACAUGUCUAUGGCUAGGAAACUUAACCAUCUUUGAUUAACGAGCUAGUCAAGUAGAGGCAUACUAGGGACACUCUGUUUGUCUAUGUAUUCACACAUGUACUAAGUUUCCGGUUAAAACAAUUCUAGCAUGAAUAAUAAACAUUUAUCAUGAUAUAAGGAAAUAUAAAUAACAACUUUAUUAUUGCCUCUAGGGCAUAUUUCCUUCAGUCUCCCACUUGCACUAGAGUCAAUAAUCUAGUUCACAUCGUCAUGUCAUUUCACACCAAUAGUUCACAUCUUUAUGUGAUUAGUUCACAUCUCCAUGUGACUAAUACCCAAAGGGUUUACUAGAGUCAAUAAUCUAGUUCACAUCGCUAUGUGAUUGACACCCAAAGAGUGAUCAUGUUUUUCUUGUGAGAGAAGUUUAGUCAACGGGUCUGCCACAUUCAGAGCCGUAUGUAGUUUGCAAAUUUUCUAUGUCUACAAUGCUCUACACGGAGCUACUCUAGCUAAUCGCUCCCACUUUCAAUAUGUAUCUAGAUCGAGACUUAGAGUCAUCCAGAUCGGUGUCAAAGCUUGCAUCGACAUAACUCUUUACGACGAACUCUUUGUCACCUCCAUAACCGAGAAAAAUUUCCUUAUUCCACUAAGGAUAAUUUUGACUGAUAUUCAGUGAUCCACUCCUAGAUCACUAUUGUACCCUCUUGCCAAACUCAUGGUGAGGUACACAAUAGGUCUCGUACACAACAUAGCAUACUUUAUAGAACCUAUGACUGAGGCAUAGAGAAUGACUUUUCAUUCUCUUUCUAUUUUCUGCUGUGGUCGGGUUUUGAGUCUUUACUCAACUUCACACCUUGCAACACAAGCAAGAACUCCUUUGACUGUUCUAUUUUGAACUACUUCAAAAACUUGUCAAGGUAUGUACUCAUUGAAAAAAUUUAUCAAGCGUCUUGAUCUAUCUCUAUAGAUCUUGAUGCUCAAUAUGUAAGCAGUUUCACCAAGGUCUUUCUUUGAAAAACUCCUUUUAAACACUCCUUUAUGCUUUCUAGAAAAUUCUACAUUAUUUCCGAUCAACAAUAUGUCAUUCACAUAUACUUAUCAGAAAUGCUGUAGUGCUCCCACUAACUUUCUUAUAAAUACAGGCUUCACCGCAAGUCUGUAUAAAACUAUAUAUGCUUUGAUCAACUCAUCAAAGUGUAUAUUCCAACUCCGAGAUGCUUGCACCAGCCCAUAGAUGGAUCGCUGGAGCUUGCACACUUUGUUAGCACCUUUAGGAUUGACAAAACCUUCUUGUCGUAUCAUAUACAACUCUUCUUUAAGAAAUCCAUUAAGGAAUGCAGUUUUGACAUCCAUUUGCCAGAUUUCAUAAAAUGUGGCAAUUGCUAACAUGAUUCGGACAGACUUAAGCUUCUCUACGAGUGAGAAAUCUCACCAUAGUCAACACCUUGAACUUGUCGAAAACUUUUUGUUGAAAAUUCGAGCUUUGUAGAUAGUAACACUACUAUCAGCGUCCGUCUUCCUCUUGAAGAUCCAUUUAUUCUCUAUGGCUUGCCGAUCAUCGGGCAAGUAAACUAAAGUCCAUACUUUGUUCUCAUACAUGGAUGAUGGAUCCCAUCUCAGAUUUCAUGACCUCAAGCCAUUUCGCGGAAUUUGGGCUCAUCAUCGCUUCCUCAUAGUUCGUAGGUUCGUAGUAACAUGACCUCCAGAACAGGGUUAUCAUACCACUCUGAUGCAGAUCUUACUCUGGUUGACCUACAAGGUUCGGUAGUAACUUGAUCAGAAGUUUUCAUGAUCAUCAUCAUUAGCUUCCUCACUAAUUGGUGUAGGAAUCACUAGAACUGAUUUCUGUGAUGAACUACUUUCUAAUAAGGGAGCAGGUACAAUUACCUCAUCAAGUUCUACUUUCCUCCCACUCACUUCUUUCGAGAGAAACUCCUUCUCUAGAAAGGAUCCACUCUUAGCAACAAAGAUCUUGCCUUCGGAUCUGUGAUAGAAGGUGUACCCAACAGUUUCUUUUGGGUAUCCUAUGAAGAUGCACUUCUCCGAUUUGGGUUUGAGCUUAUCAGGUUGAAACUUUUUCACAUAAGCAUCACAACCACAAACUUUAAGAAACGAUAGCUUAGGUUUCUUGCUAAACCACAGUUCAUACGGUGUCGUCUCAACGAAUUUUUAGACGGUGCCCUAUUAACGUGAAUGCAGCUGUCUCUAAUGCAUAACCCCAAAACGAUAACGGUAAAUCAGUAAGAGACAUCAUAGAUCGCACCUUAUCUAAUAAAGCGCGGUUCGAUGUUCAGACACACCAUUAUGUUGUGGUGUUCAGGGUGGCGUGAGUUGCGAAACUAUUUCGCAUUGCUCAAAUGAAGACCAAACUCGUAACUCAAAUAUUCACCUCCACGAUCAGAUCGUAGAAACUUUAUUUUCUUGUUACGAUGAUUUUCCACUUCACUCUGAAAUUCUUUGAACUUUUCAAAUGUUUCAGACUUAUGUUUCAUCAAGUAGAUAUACCCAUAUCUGCAUAAAUCAUCUGUGAAGGUCGGAAAAUAACGAUACCGCGAGCCUCAACACUCAUCGGACCGCAUACAUAAGUAUGUAUUAUUUCCAACAAGUCUGUUGCUCGCUCCAUUGUUUCGAAGAACGGAGUCUUAGUCAUCUUGCCCAUGAGGCAUUGUUCGGAAGCAUCAAGUGAUUCCAAAAGCCCAUCAGCAUGGAGUUUCAUCAUGCACUUUACACCAAUAUGACCUAAACAGCAGUGCCACAAAUAAGUUGCACUAUCAUUAUUAACUUUGCAUCUUUUGGCUUCACUAUUAUGAAUAUGUGUAUCACUACGAUCAAGAUUCAAUAAACCAUUUAUAUUGAGUAUACGACCAUAGAAGGUUUUAUUCAUGUAAAUAGAACAACAAUUAUUCUUUGACUUAAAUGAAUAACCAUAUUGCAAUACACAUGAUCCAAUCAUAUUCAUGCUCAACGCAAACACCAAAUUACAUUUAUUUUAGGUUUAACACUAAUCCCGAAGGUAAAGGGAGUGUGCGAUGGUGAUCUUAUCAACCUUGGAAUCACUUCCAACUCACAUCAUCACCUCGCCCUUAACUAGUCUCUGUUUAUUUUGCAACUCCCGUUUCGAGUUACUACUCUUAGCAGCUGAACCAGUAUCAAAUACCGAGCGGUUGCUAUAAACACUAGUAAAGUACACAUCAAUAACAUGUAUAUCAAAUAUACCUUUGUUCACUUUGCCAUCCUUCUUAUCCGCCAAGUAUCUAGGGCAGUUCCACUUCCAGUGACCAUUUCCUUUGCAGUAUAAGCACUCGGUUUCAGACUUGGGUCUAGCUUUGGGCUUCUUCAUGGGAGUGGUAACUUGCUUUCCAUUCUUCUUGAAGUUCCCUUUCUUUCCCUUGCCCUUUUACUUGAAACUAGUGGUCUUGUCAACCAUCAACACUUGAUGCUUUUCUUGAUUUCUACCUUCGCCGAUUUCAGCAUCGCGAAGUGCUCGGGGAAUCAUUUUCGUCAUCCCUUACAUAUUAUAGUUCAUCACGAAGUUCUAGUAACUUGGUGAUAGUGACUAGAGAACUCUGUCAACCACUAUCUUAUCUGGAAGAUUAACUCCCACUUGAUUCAAGUGAUUGUAGUACUCAGACAUUCUAAGCACAUGCUCACUGGUUGAGCUAUUCUUCUCCAUCUUGUAGGCAAAAUACUUGUCAGAGGUCUCAUACCUCUCGACUCGGGCAUGAGUCUGAAAUACCAAUUUUAGUUCUUGGAACAUCUCAUAUGAUCCAUGGCAUUCAAAACAUUUUUUAAGUCCCGGUUCUAAGCCGUAAAGCAUGGUGCACUAAACUAUCAAGUAGUCAUCAUACCGAGCUUUGCAAAACAUUCAUAACGUCUACAUCUGCUCCUGCAACAGGUUUAUCACCUAGUGGUGCAUCAAGGACAUAAUACUUCUGUGCAGCAAUGAGGAUAAUCUUCGGAUCACAGACCUAGUCCGCAUCAUUGCUACUAUCAUCUUUCAACUUAGUUUUCUCUAGGAACAUAUCAAAAAUAAAAUAGGGGAGCUAUACACGAGCUAUUGAUCUACAACAACAUAGACAUGCAAAAAACUAUCAGGACUAAGUUCAUGAUAAAUUAAAGUUCAAUUAAUCAUAUUACUUAAGAACUCCCACUUAGAUAGACAUCCCUCUAAUCAUCUAAGUGAUCACAUGAUCCAUAUCAACUAAACCAUGUCCGAUCAUCACGUGAGAUGGAGUAGUUUUCAAUGGUGAACAUCACUAUGUUGAUCAUAUCUACUAUAUGAUUCACGCUCGACCUUUCGGUCUCAGUGUUCCGAGGCCAUAUCUGCAUAUGCUAGGCUCGUCAAGUUUAACCCGAGUAUUAUGCGUGUGCAAAACUGGCUUGCACCCGUUUUAUGUGAACGUAGAGCUUAUCACACCCGAUCAUCACGUGGUGUUUCAGCACGAAGAACUGUCGCAGCGGUGCAUACUCAAGGAGAACACUUAUACCUUGAAAUUUUAGUAAGGGAUCAUCUCAUAAUGCUACCGUCGUACUAAGCAAAAUAAGAUGCAUAAAAGAUAAACAUCAUAUGCAAUCAAAAUAUGUCACAUGAUAUGGCCCUCAUCAUCUUGUGCCUUUGAUCUCCAUCUCCAAAGUAUUGUCAUGAUCUCCAUUGUCACCGGCAUGACACCAUGAUCUCGAUCAUCUUGAUCUUUAUCAACGUGUCAUCACAUGGUCGUCUCGCCAACUAUUGCUUUUGCAACUAUUGCUAUCUCAUAGCGAUAAAGUAAAGCAAUUAUGUGGCGCUUGCAUCUUAUGCAGUAAACAGACAACCAUAAGGCUCCUACCAGUUGCCGAUAACGUUAACAAAACAUGAUCAUCUCACACAACAAUUUAUAUCUCAUCACGUCUUGACCAUAUCACAUCACAGCAAGCCCUGCAAAAACAAGUUAGACGUCCUCUACUUUGUUGUUGCAAGUUUUACGUGGCUGCUACGGGCUUCUAGAAAGAACCGUUCUUACCUACGCAUCAAAACCACAAUGAUUUUUCGUCAAGUGUGCUGUUUUAACCUUCAACAAGGACCGGGCGUAGUCAAACUCGAUUCAACUAAAUUUGGAGAAACAGACACCCACUAGCCACCUGUGUGCGAAGCACGGCGCUAGAACCAGUCUCAUGAACGCGGUCAUGUAAUGUCGGUCUGGGCCGCUUCAUCCAACAAUACUGCCGAAUCAAAGUAUGACAUGGUGGUAAGCAGUAUGACAAUUAUCGCCCACAACUCUUUGUGUUCUACUCAUGCAUAUAACAUCUACGCAUAGACCUGGCUCGGAUGCCACUGUUGGGGAACGUAGUAUUUCAAAAAAAUUGCCUACAAUCAUGCAAAAUCUAUCUAGGAGAAGCAUAGCAACGAGCGGGGAGAGUGUGUCCACGUACCCUCGUAGACCGAAAGCGGAAGCGUUUAGUAACACGGUUGAUGUAGUCGAACGUCUUCGCGAUCCAACCGAUCCAAGUACCGAAUGUACGGCACCUUUGCGUUCAGCACACGUUCAGCUCGAUGACGUCCCUCGAUCUCUCGAUCCAGUUGAGGACGAGGGAGAGUUCCAUCAGCAUGACGGUGUGGAGAUGGUGAUGAUGAAGUUACCGGCACAGGGCUUCGCCUAAGCACUACGACGAUAUGACCGAGGUGUGUAACUGUGGAGGGGGGCACCGCACACGGCUAAGACAAUUGUCUAUUGUGUCUUUGGGGUGCCCCCCUGCCCCCGUAUAUAUAGGAGGGGAGGAGGAGGCCGGCCAACAAGGGGCACGCCAGGGAGAGGGGAAUCCUACUAGGACUCCAGUCCUAGUAUGAUUUGGCCCCACCCUUUUUUCCUUCUACCGGAGGGGGAAAAGGGGAAGGAGAGGGAGUAGGAGAAGGAAAGGGAGUGGCGCCCCCUUCCCAAGUCCAAUUCGGCCUCCUCCCUUGUGGGGGGCGAACCAGCCCCUUGUGGGCUGGUUAGCCUCCCUCCUAUGGCCCAUAAGGCCCAUAUCUUUCCCCGGGGGGUUCCGGUAACCCCUCCGGUACUCCGGUAUGUACCCGAUACACUCGGAACCCUUCCGGUGUCCGAAUACUGCCUUCCAAUAUAUCAAUCCUUACCUCUCGACCAUUUCGAGACUCCUCGUCAUGUGCGUGAUCUCAUCUGGGACUCCGAACAAACUUCGGUCAUCAAAUCACAUAACUCAUAAUACAAAUCGUCAUCGAACGUUAAGCGUGCGGACCCUACGGGUUCGAGAACUAUGUAGACAUGACUGAGACACAUCUCCGGUCAAUAACCAAUAGCGUAACCUGGAUGCUCAUAUUGGCUCCUACAUAUUCUACGAAGAUCUUUAUCGGUCAAACCGCAUAACAACAUACGUUGUUCCCUUUGUCAUCGGUAUGUUACUUGCCCGAGAUUCGAUCGUCGGUAUCAUCAUACCUAGUUCAAUCACGUUACCAGCAAGUCUCUUUACUUGUUCCGUAAUGCAUCAUCCCGCAACUAACUCAUUAGUCACAUUGCUUGCAAGGCUUAUAGUGAUGAGCAUUACCGAGAGGGACCAGAGAUACCUCUUCGAUACACGGAGUGACAAAUCCUAAUCUCAAUCUAUGCCGACCCAACAAACACCAUCGGAGACACAUGUGGAGCAUCUUUAUAAUCACCCAGUUAUGUUGUGACGUUUGAUAGCACACUAAGUGUUCCUCCGGUAUUCGGGAGUUGCAUAAUCUCAUAGUCAGAGGAACAUGUAUAAGUCAUGAUGAAAGCAAUAGCAAUAAAACUAAACGAUCAUUAUGCUAAGCUAAUGGAUGGGUCUUGUCCAUCACAUCAUUCUCUAAUGAUGUGAUCCCGUUCAUCAAAUGACAACACAUGUCUAUGGCUAGGAAACUUAACCAUCUUUGAUUAACGAGCUAGUCAAGUAGAGGCAUACUAGGGACACUCUGUUUGUCUAUGUAUUCUCACAUGUACUAAGUUUCCGGUUAAUACAAUUCUAGCAUGAAUAAUAAACAUUUAUCAUGAUAUAAGGAAAUAUAAAUAACAACUUUAUUAUUGCCUCUAGGGCAUAUUUCUUUCAGAGACAACCUCCACGCCAUCAAAUAUUUGCCAUUAAAGCUCAAAGGACCAGCCCGACAUUGGUUAAACAGCCUCCCCGAAGACUCCAUGGGGAGAUGGGAAGAGCUCAAGGAUGCUUUCGGAGCUAACUUUCAAGGUACCUACGUCCGGCCUCCGGAUGCCGACGACCUGAAUCAUGUGGUCCAGCAGCCCGACGAGUCAUCCGGGAGUUUUAGAACAGGUUUCUAACCAAAAAGAGUCAAAUAGUCAACUGCCCGGACACUGAAGUUAUAGCCGCGUUCAAGCAUAGUAUCCGGGACGAAUGCUCGCACUCCAGCUCGCCCAAGACAAACCAAGGUCAAUGGCAGCCCUUAACUCCCUUAUGACCCACCUUUGCGCGGGUGAAGAUAGUUGGUUGGCUCGUAGAAGCACCAACCAGAAGGCACCGACACUUCUGAAGUCCGGGAUGGCAACGAGAAACCGCCACAAUAAAAAUAAGCGUCGACACAACGGCGCCGAGGCCGAUGACAUGGCAGUAAAUGCUGGAUUCCAUAAUCCCAAGGCUGGGCCGCGAAAGAAGCCCUCUAAAGGAAACCAGGAUGGACCCACCAAGUUGGAUGUUAUCCUGGAUAGGCCAUGCCAGAUACAUGGCACCACAGACAAGCCUGCCAACCACACCAACCGCAACUGUUGGGUGAUUAAACAAGACAGCAAGCUCACAGCCGAAGACAUGGGCAAAAGCCCCCGCAGCAAGGAUGAUGAGGAACCUCGCAAGCCGAACAAUGGAGGCCAGAAACAACUCCCUCCGGAGGUUAAAAUAGUGAACAUGAUUUAUGCCACUCAUAUACCCAAGAAGGAGCGAAAGGGCGCACUUCGGGACGUCUACGCCAUAGAGCCUGUAGCCCCAAAAUUCAACCCAUGGUCAGCAUGUCCGAUCACCUUUGAUCGCAAGGACCACCCGACCAGUAUCUGUCAUGGAGGAUCAGCGGCACUGGUCCUAGAUCCCAUUAUCGAUGGAUACCACCUUACCAGAGUCCUCUUGGAUGGGGGUAGGAGCCUUAACCUGAUCUAUGAAGAUACAGUCCGGAAAAUGGGUAUUGACCCGUCAAGGAUCAAACCCAGUAACACCACCUUUAAGUGGGUCAUCCCCGGCAUUGAAGCCUGCCGUUCGGGCACCCUCACUCUGGAAGUAGUAUUCGGCUCUCCAGACAAUUUCUGGAGUGAAGAUUUGAUCUUCGACAUCGCCCCCUUCCGCAACGGCUAUCACGCCCUCAUAGGCCGGACGGCGUUCGCUCGUUUUAACGCCGUCCCCCACUAUGCCUACCUCAAAAUAAAGAUGCCCAGUCCAAGAGGCUUCAUCACAUUCAACGGUAACAAGGAGCGCUCUCUUCAGACAGAGGAACAUACCGCAGCCUUGACGGCCGAAUACGAAGGACCGAAGUGUCAGGCCACCGUCAAGGUGCGAGAGGCGAACAAGCGGGCAUUGGCCCUAUCUCCCACCAAGGGGCUUCCCUGUGGUUCGGCAUACAUAGAAAUACGCCCCCCAUGGCCUGCCCAACCCAGCAGCACACUAUGUGCCUUGAUAUCACAAUUUCACGCUCAAAAUACCAUGGGCAGCUAUGGGGCUUAAUCACCAAGAGUUCAGUUCGACCGUACCAUGGCACAAUGCGUGUUCGGACGACAAACAUGUACCAUCUAGGACCUAUGCGGCAUCAAGCCCCACCAACACAGCAACCUCUCAAGGACUCCCUGUCAAGGACCCGUCAUCGGACAACCAUCCAACAAUGUUGUCUCUCUUAGUAGAAACAAAGGUGCAGACGUGCAGUAGGGCACAGUUCGAGUGUUAACCCACAUAUCAAGACCCUGCGUAAACCUUUCAUCUAUAAAUUAAUCUUUUUCCUUUUUUUGAAGUCUUGAUUCGACAGUUCGAAGUGUAUGGCUAGAUGUCAUGAGCUUAUUGGAAAUAAAGCAAACCAUUUAUGGUUCCUCUAUAGUCGCUUAUGUUGUAUUUUUCCCCAGUUCUUACUUUUCGCUCUUCGAAUCUGCCUCAAUCAAGCAUUAUACACUUCGGGUUCCAUUUAUACGCGGGUUAUUGGACCGAGGGCUUGGCCUAGAUGUCGCCCUAUACAUUAAAGACCGACACCUUUUUCUUUUCACUGUGUUUGGUGUCUUGGAUAUUGCAUUAUAUGCACCGGCUCCGAAUUAUGUCUUGGGUCAAUAGUUGGGUUACCCUGCUCCUGUGCUUACCUUUUUAUGUUCUGCAUGUUCGUCUAAGAAUGUAAAGGGAGAACCACUGUGAUUGUACUUCCGCCUAGUUUGGUUAAGUACCUUAGUGAAGAAAGCCGAAAAUUGACUGUCAUAAUAGGCGAGAACUGGUCGACAAUCCGAUGACUGGUCUUCGAACCAAAAAUUGUUAGAGAUUGUACUGUGUACUAUGAAGGAUUAGUAUUUGAACAAAUCAAGUGAGUGAUGUUCGUCCCUAAGGUCCGCCCAACACCUCAACACACCGGGGGCUGGUCACCAGCCCCCACUGUCAAGUUCUUAUGGCUAAGUGAAGGUAAUAAAACCGCAUAGUCCGAUUGCCUUGUUCCCCUCCUACACUACCGCCUCUAGGCACUGAGACGUCGGCUAAGGGUUAUAGUGUGGAGGAUGGAACACCCCUCAUAGCAUCUACGUGGGGGCUGAAGCCGACGACUAGUAACUUUCAGGAUAAAAACGGCUGCACAAGAGUCAAAAUUAAACAUAAAAUACACACAAGUAUGAUAAACCAUACAAAAUACCAUUAGCUCAUAAAAGCAUAAGGUUUCAUCGCAAGUUCAUAUAUCAACAACGUAACUACUCAAGGAGUACAUCCUUGCAACACUACACCUCCACGGCCCGAGCACCGUCCAUCACGGCUGCGAAGUACUGCUCUGGGCGCCUAUGCUCCUUCCUAGCUGGCGGACGACCGGUGGCCAUCUCGACGGGCUCGAUCUUAGGCCAAUGCACCAUUAUCUUUGCAAACGCCAUCUGAGCCCCCUCGAUGCACAUCAAACGCUUGAUGGCAUCAAUCCGGGAAGACGCGUCACACAACUUCGCCACUAGACUGAAGUAGCUACUCGGCACGGGCUCGGAGGACCAUAGCCAGACAUAGAGGUCCUUCAUGGCCGGUUCCGCCAUUUGGUACAUCUCCAUCAACUGCUUCAUUUGAUUCAUAAGGAGGAGAGGAUGUUUGGGCACCUGGAAUUGCACCCAGAAUGUCCAUAGCUCAACGUCACCCUCCCGGGCAGCAUAAUGCCUUGUGGCAUCGGCCACACUCUUCGGGAGAUCCGCUAUGGCGCCUGCUGAAUGCCAGACCCGGGUUAGCAACUUGAAUCUUUGACCACCAAAUACACUGUACAGUAAGUAUUGCUUAACAUUGGCAAUUUGCUUCACUUGCUGGAGCUCCUCCCGGGCGCUCCGUGUCUCCGACCACGCCUCUUGAAUCUUUGUCUUCAUGUUUGCCAGCGCAGUGGCGUGCUACUUGUUCUUUUGUUCAAGGUCCUCACAUUUUCUGACGGCAUCCUUGAGCUCUUGUUGCACUUCGUCCACCCUGGCCUCAUGCUUCUCGCGUUCGGUUUUCACCAACGUGAGAUCGGCAGCCUCCUGUUCGGCCGCCACCUUCUGUUCGGCCGCUUCCUUUCUGGUCUGCAGCAGUUCGGCCUUGAGGCUUUUGACCUUCGCGACGGCAGCUGCAAAACAGUCUCUUGCUUAGGUGUAAGGGCAUAUUUAUCCCUUAGUUGUUUUGGUGAUUGAUGACAAUGCUUUUGCGGACUAAUCGUGUGCAUUCAGCAUUUCAGACAUAUCAUGACUAGGCACAAGACGAUUUGGUGCCCCUCGAAGACUAUUGAAGAUGGCGUUUCUCUACGUUUAUUUUCGAUGGAUUUGAGUCGUAGGAAAGCCGUACUAUUAAGAGGGGGUCUGCGUUGGAAAGGUUUGGGUGGAAUCAACACGUACACGUCUGUUUCUUUUUUGCACCACCUUUCCUUUGGCUCUUUGGGGCAUCCUCCGUUUCUCCGUGUCUCUGCAAAAUGAAGGACUCCUAGUGUUGCUAAACUAGGGCAUGCGGUAGUACUGCUCUUCGGAGCGGUAGUACCGCAGGCCCUUGCGGUAGUACCUGUCAGGACCCCGAUUCUAAGUCACACCGAUCUAGCCUAUAACACCUCAUAUCACUUUGCGGCCUCACGCACGGUAUUCCCACGGGUGUCGCCUUACCAUGGCCCGGACCAUUUGCACCUUUUGGCUCACAUAUAUGAUAGUGUCGCUAGCAUCCAUAUGACAGAGAACCCGGGCCGACAUGGCAAGUCGUGAACCCAAAGUGGCACUAACUUACGGGAACAGGCAUACAUGAAUCAACAUCGAGCAUGUCGGUCAGCAGCGUGCGAAUCCGGGCUGUAGCACUGGGCUAAAAGGACUCCGGGAACCUGGGUUGUAGCAGGCUAGGCAGGACUCCGGAUGUCACCGCGUGACAUUUCCCCGAAGGGACAGACACAGGAACGAAGUGAAACACAUGCCGGCCAGUCAAGUGUUCCGGAGCAGUAGUGCUGGGCUAGCAGGACUCCGGUGAACCGGGCUGUAGCAGACUACUAUGGCUCAUGGAAGCACAAGACUACAUUUCCCCAUAAGAGAGGCUACCAAGGAUAAACAACUAGGUUGUCAGAUCCCACACAUACCAAGCAUUUCAAUCAUACACACAAUAUGCUCGAUAUGUGUAAAUACAACAUGGCAUCACAACAUAACUCUACGACUCAAGUACUUAUUCAUUAGUCUCCGAGGAGCAAGAUAAUACAAACAUAGGUCUCAUGACCCAACAUUCAGAGCAUACAAGUCAAACACAUGCGGAAGCUUAACAGGUCUGAGUACAGACAUCUACAAAUGAAAAAGGCUGAGAAGCCUGACUAUUUACUAGAUCCUGCCGAGGGCACAAGAUCGUAGCUGAGGUAUCAAGCUAAACGUCGAAGUCCACACGAAACUACUAGCGAGACUGACGUCUCUCUGCAAAACAUAAAAUAAGCAAACGUGAGUACAAAUGUACCCAGCAAGACUUACAUCAGAACUAUCUACCUAUGCAUCGGUAUCAACAAAGAGGCUGAUGGAGUUUAACUGCAGCAAGCCAGCUUUGACUCGGUGGCUAUCCUAACUACGACUGCAAGUAACUCUUUUGAGGUGGCGCACACAAGUCCACAUAUUCACCAUACCAAUACUCCACUAUGGAUCCGCUCCUGUUUCCCUACGAGAGCGCCAUCCAUAGCACUCACGCUUAUCUUGCGCAUUUUAGAGUAUCCACUUUCACUUGUCUAUGAACUGUUAUAGGCAACCCAUAAGUCCUUUACCACGGACACGGCUAUUCGAAUAGAUCAUAUUAACCCUGCAGGGGUGUACUUCGUCACACACGCUCUCACCACUUACCGCCGUUUACACGACAUGUACUCGGCAACCUUCAAGCGGAAGCCCAGCGAGGGUGUCGGCCACGGCCUACCUAAACACUCAAGUCUCUAGCCCAGGUUUAUCGCCUAUUCAGGUUCCAUCCGCAGGGAGUCCGGCCGAGGUUUCCACAUACGGCCCCGAACGAUGUGUACAGGGUUCCGAGACACCAAACGGGCGCCUGGCAUGCCCGGCCACGUGCCUACCGCAUCACAGCCCACCCCUCGGGUCAACGCUGCGCAUGGCCUCCAGCAUACUACAAACACCAGAAACUACUUGCAACUCCUGGACAGAGGACAAGGGUGAUUAAGAAGCCGAGAGGGUCCAUUGGUUUCGGGCCCAAUGCGUGGUAGUAACUGUUUCAUGGAUCACAAACACAGAACUCAGUUCAUGAGGACGGCUGCAAUGAGACAACCCACCAUGUACUCCUACAUGGCCUCUCAUCGCUACCUUUACCAAAUCGUGUUCACACACUUAGCUCACACACAGUAGGACAUGUUCAUCACCAUUCCAACUCAUCCCCGAUGAAUCAGACCCGACUCAACUCUAAGCAGUAGCAGGCAUGACAAACAAGCAUGAAUGAGUAGGCACAUCAGGGCUCAAACAACUCCUACUCAUGCUAGUGGGUUUCAUCUAUUUACUGUGGCAAUGACAGGUCAUGCAGAGGAUAAGGGGUUUAACUACCGCAGCAAGUAACAGAUGAAUCAUUGUUGUCCUAAUGCAGUAAAAGAGAGCAGGAGCGAGAGAGUGGGAUUGUAUCGGAAUGAACAAGGGGGUUUGCUUGCCUGGCACUUCUGAAGAUAUUAUAGUUCUUCAUCGGUGUCAUGGAACUCAUCGUCGGAAUCACGGCUAUCGAGAGGGCACAAUUACCGGCAACAGAGAGGAAACACAAUCAAUGCAAUGCAACAAUAUGAUGCAUGGUCGUGACAUGUCAAGAAUGUUAUGAUUUACAUUAAUGCAUCUAACAACAGUUUAAAUGAAGUCCAUAUGAACUAAGGGUUCAUAUGCAAACUCCACAUUUAGCAUUUAAAAUGUCAUUAUCAUGUUUUCACCUAUACAGCAGGUAUAACUUAGUUUGACAUGCAUGAAAAUGAUACAGAUGGAUAGAUUGCAUUUUUCUGAUAAUUUUUCAUAUAUAAUUUAUUUCAUUUGGAGUUAUGGUUGAAUUUCUAUGAAUUUUAGAAGUUUUGGGUAUUUUCUGGAAUUUCCUGUAUAAAAAUAAUUCUAGUAAGUAAAUUAAUGCGUCAGCAUUGUAUCAGGGUGACGUCAGCUGGUCAGCGGGGUCGUCGAGGUCAAACCUGACGUGUGGGGUCCACACGUCAGUGUCCCUGUUAGUAAACUAACUAAUUUAGAAUUAAUUAAAAGUUAAUCCAGGUUAAUUAGCAGGCGGGCCCCACUUGUCAUUGACUCAGGGGAGGGGGUCAGCCUGGGUCAAACGGGGUCAACUCGCCGGCGUUUAGCCGCCGGCGAAGCCAGACGCGGCGGCGAGCCACGGGUUUGCCCUACGGGGCGCCGUUUGGCGCGCGGAGCACAGCUACGGGAUGCGGACGCUCGUCCGCAUCCAACCGUGGGGGUGGUGCGGCCGGGGAGUGGCCGGAGUGGCGCCGGCGACGAGCUCGGCGGCGGCACGUGCGGGUGAGCUACAUGCAGUUGCUACGGAGCUCGAGAGCGAGAACGAGAAGGGGGAGAAGGUAGCGGAGCUCACUGCGGUCACGUAGAAGCAAACGGCACGGUCGGGGACGGGCUGAUGACGUCGGAGCAGAGGCGGCGAAGUCGAGGGUGCAGGGGGCGAUGCAGGCCGUUCGGCGUUGCCUGACUCGGCUGAGAGGACGAGGGCGUCGAGACGGAGCUGCUGGACAGCACGGGAAGGCGAGGGGAGCACGGUGGCUGCGAGGUUCACACCGGCGCGAGCUCGGCAGCGUCGGCCAUGGCGGAGGCGAGGCGAGGGAGAGGUGCAGGGGGCGAAUGAGGUGUCGGGGCGGUCGAGCGGGCGACGUGGGCGUCGUCCAGAUCCUCUAGAGGCGCGGGGCGGCAAGCAGGUGACGCCGUGGCGCGCGCGGCGGCGUCGCGGUGUCCCUCCUCUGCCUACUGGCAGAGGUGGGGGAUGACUGGCACGGCCGGGUGGGCUGGGCCUCUGCUGGGCCGCGGGUGGGCGCCAGGUAAAUGGCCUCUGGCCUUUCUCUCUCUCUCUCUCUCUUUUUCUAAUUUUUAAUUGUUUUUCUAUUUUUCUGUAAGUUUGUUGCAUUAUUAAAAAUACUUAGGCAUCUCCUAAAAUCACCAAAAUGCACAUGGCCACUGUUUAGAAUUUAUAUGGCAUGGAACAUUUUAGUUUGGAAUUAUUUGAGCACUUGAAAUAUUUUAUAUUAUUUAAAUGCCCAAAAUCAAAUUGCUAAUGGAUUAAUCCAGUGACCUUAAGAUGUCCUAGAAAUUUGUGCAUCACUUUUGGCAGUGGUUUAAGACCAAGGCAGAGAUGAUGAACAUUUUAGAAGGGCAUUUCAGGUUCAUUGAAAUUAUUUUUAGUAAACCCUAGUUGUUAACAGGGGGUGCUGGGGUUUCUGUCUUCCCCAUUUCAAGUUUCUGGAAAAAAAGAAACAUGAUGCAACACUCUAAUGCAUGAACUAGCUAGGAUGUGACAACUCACCCCCAAUAAACAAGAAUCUCGUCCCGAGAUUCAAGAUGUGAGGUAAGAAGACAGAGGGGACACAAACUAAUACAAUCUUCAUGAUCCAAUUGCUCUUCUCGAAGAUGUUGAUUCAUUGCAUCACCUUGAUCUCGACGUCUUGCUUUGAGAACUACAUCCAACAUAACAACGAAUAGAGAGAGAGAAUUUUAGAAGGAUCGAUCUUUCUGAGAUUCGAGCAACUUAGGAUCAUCUUUAUGAUCACAAGAUCAAUUCACGGAAUGAGAAAAAGAAACAUCUCUGGAGCUGAGAGCCAAAACAUGCAUCAGGAGGGGCGGAAGAAACAAUUUGACGAGGGUUUCAAAGCAGCAAGGAAAAUUGCCAUGAUUCCAUAAUGGGGCACCUUGGGAAAGGUGACUCGUAGAAUUAUUCCCUCAAGUGGCAAAAAGAAUUACUUUUGAUAUAAAUAUCAUUGAAACUCUUUAUGCCAGCCUAAGGCAAUCACAAACGAUCGUUCGAGGGAGUUCGGGAGAACGACACACUCGGGCUAGAAUGGACGAUGUGGACUACCUUGUUGAAGACAACGAAAUGGAUGAUUUUUGCUUAUCAUCGGAAAUGAAUGGGACUCAUGGUAAGUCCACCUUUGAAGAUGGACCUGGACAGCAACUGCUGAGAAGGGCAGCCCAUGGAAAAUUGGCACGAUGGGGUGCAAGCUGGGAACAAAAUGCAACCGUUGGGAAUGUUCCAACCAUCAUAUCUGCCUGAGAUUCAGAUCCGAUCGGUGAUAGGAUACUUCAGACUCAGCAUGUCUGAAAAGAAAGUUUGCAACACAAUUCGACGAGAUGGCGUUGCGAGAUUCUCGAGGAAUGAACUAAGAUAGCAAGCUCCAAAACAUGAGAUGGUUCUUCUAAACACAUGUGAACACGCUGUCCCACACAAGCAUGACCACAUAGUAGUCUUAUGAUAAAACACUAUCGAGUUCAGGUGGGGAACCAUCAUCUAGGGUAACGAAGUCUUGUGCAUGACCUAGGAUUUGCAGAACAACUCCUUUUCCUUGAACAAAUCAAUCAGUGGCUUGGUGUGCUAGGAACACAUAUAGAAUGGAGGUUGCAAGUCUCCGAACCACAGAAUACUUCGCACGUAUGCAUGACCGAUUUUGGGAUGAUUCCAAAAGAAGCAACAUUGACUUUCUCAAAUCCACGACGGCAACUUGCAUCAGAUGCACGUGAAUUAGAGGAAGUCACUACAUUCAUCCAAACAUAUGCUUCAUGAACGGAACAUGAAGGCAUUGUUUACAAAGUUUCCAACACUAGCUUAAUGUUUAACACGAAUCAUGGGGAAAACAAGAUGCUGUUGAUGGGCUCAACAGCAACUCAUCGGAAUUUCCAUAGCACUGGACUUCCACCAUCGUGUGAACACGAUGAUAGCAUUGGUCAGACCUAAAAGAUAUAAUGGUGUAUGCUCGAGGGAUCAACCACGAGUAAGACAACAUUACGAACAUCGUUGGUUCUGAUUUGACUUGACGAUAGCCCAUACUCAAAUCAAAGAUUGGUAAGAUAAUAGAUCCAACAACUGAUCAUGAGGGUCAAUCAAUGAAGAUAUCAUCUUUCUUUAACGCACACACACACCAAGAUAUCCCUUAAUGAUGAACUAAGUCAGACAAAGCUUUUAUCUUCCAACUCUCCAAGUUGUUGUUUAGCUCAACCAACUAGCUCAGGGGUAUCCAACACAGAUUCUUGGAGAAGGGGUGGUUUAUAGGAAACCAACUUGAUCACGAGCUCAACAUAACGGUCAGGGAGCAACCUGGUGAUACUUCCGAGAAGAUAUUCAGGAAAUCACGAACCACCGAUAUGUUACUAGGCUCGAGAACAAUCUCGCCUUUCAGAGCAAGACGAUAUGAUCAAAUAAGCAAGGGAUUGAAUAAUCCUAACUCAUUGAUCGAAGAGUGCACCGGAAAUAAGGACUAGGUAGCACGAUCAACCUUAGGAUGUGAUUCAGUAACCAACACGCUAAGGAUGAAAUUAUUGUCCUUUAACUACCAAGCAACGGAGUUGCUAGGAGUAUUGAUUUCACACAUCAUAGUUCACUUGUCGGCAUUCCGGUUGCAACAACACGGGGCCAAGAAAUGAGUGAUGAUGGCGAGGAGUAUCACUGCGUCAAGAAUUCAUAAGAGGUGGUGCAAUUCCUACGAUAUUCUCGACAUAAAGGGGGUAAUACUCGAAGGUAGAACAGAACAAAAACUGGUUUGGCAUUUUGAUCUGUGGAAUACAACUACUUUGACCCAAUCCCAGAGAUGGACGAGGUACUGGAGUUUGUUUCUCCUAGUCAUUCCGGAUUAGAAUGGCUUGACAGACCACAAGAAUAAUAGGCAUCGAUAACACAAAUGCACAAUUACUCCUGACUAUCAAUUGAUAGACGAGGGCCAGAAAAUAACUAAAGAGGGACAACCCAAAGGAACAUAUGUUUUUCUGAGUUGUGGAUGCAUGGAUUAGUAUGUCGAACAAAUUCAACAUAUUUCUUCCAGAUAACCCAUGCAGAGGAGGAAGGACUGGCAGAGUCACAAUAUGAAUGGAGUACUCCUCAAGAGCGCCCUGGUUGUGAUCUUUUGGUUAAAAGAACUUCUGCCAUAAUGGUUCAUGGUAUUUGGAAGAAGGAAAUACCACGGACCUCAAGGACUGUCGCAAGGUUACUAAUAUCCUAAAGGAACGAGCAAACACUAUCAACAGGAGGUAAGUGGAGUGAAUCUUGGGCUCAAGAACCCAGAAAUAGAAUGCCUACUAACUAAAUGGCAUCACGGGAUGCUUUCGAGAAUAAUGGCCAGAAUCAUCACACUGGGGAUGCAAGCAUUGCUAGAUUACUAAGUGGUCCUCUAAGACACCUAGGGUCAUAAUAAUAACUCCAACAUAUAUGUCAAGGAAACAGAGUACCUCAACUCAAUGAUUAGUGUGGUUAAUCUGGCCCAAAGGAACAACGAGAACGGAAAGAAGGGAUUUGCAAAUGCAUCAGAUUAUUUAGAAGCCUGGGAUGACUCGGACAGCAUAACGGCUGUAAAUGCUCAAAGGAUUUGAGACAUCCAGCAAAAAUGGUGGCAUAACCACUUAGAAGCACAAUAUCAAGGUUCCGAGACCAACUAUGAACACACGGAAGUAGAAGAAACUGAACUGGGGCUUAAAUCCAACAAUCCUACAAGUCUAUAGAUUAGUAACACGUGAUCCUGAUAGAAAGAUGAGAAGCCUAGUUCUUAAUCCCCGUAGAAGAGAAGAGGGUGACUCAGAUCAGAAGGGCAUAAGGUAAAGGAGUAAAAAGAGCCUUACAUUCCCUUCCGCAAUCAAUUCCCUUAUAUAACUACAGCAUUUCUAGACUCAACUUCGACCAGUUUUGCUUCGUAAACCUACAGGCAGUCAGGCUCUGAUACCAACGCUGUCAGGACCCCGAUUCUAAGUCAGACCAAUCUAGCCUGUAACACCUCAUAUCACUUUGCGGCCUCACGCACGGUAUUCCCACGGGUGUGGCCUUACCAUGGCCCGGGACCGUCUGCGCCUUUUGGCUCACGUAUAUGAUAGUGUCGCUAGCAUCCAUAUGACAGAGAACCCGGGCCGACAUGGCUAGUCGUGAACCCAAAGUGGCACUAACUUACGGGGAUAGGCAUACAUGAAUCAACAUCGAGCAUGUCGGUCAGCAGCGUGCGAAUCCGGGCUGUAGCACUGGGCUAACAGGACUCCGGGAACCCGGGCUGUAGCAGGCUAGGCAGGACUCCGGAUGUCACCGCGUGAAUUUCCCCGGCGGGACAGACACAGGAACGAAGUGAAUCACAUGCCGGCCAGUCAAGUGUUCCGGAGCAGUAGUGUUGGGCUAGCAGGACUCCGGUGAACCGGGCUGUAGCGGACUACUAUGGCUCAUGGAAGCACAAGACUACAUUUCCCCAUAAGAGAGGCUACCAAGGAUAAACAACUAGGUUGUCGGAUCCCACACAUACCAAGCAUUUCAAUCAUACACACAAUAUGCUCGAUAUGUGUAAAUACAACAUGGCAUCACAACAUAACUCUACGACUCAAGUACUUAUUCAUUAGGCUCCGAGGAGCGAGAUAAUACAAACAUAGGUCUCAUGACCCAACAUUCAGAGCAUACAAGUCAAACACAUGCGGAAGCUUAAUAUGUCUGAGUACAGACAUCUACAAAUGAAAAAGGCUGAGAAGCCUGACUAUUUACUAGAUCCUGCCGAGGGCACAAGAUCGUAGCUGAGGUAUCAAGCUAAACGUCGAAGUCCACACGGAACUACUAGCGAGACUGACGUCUCUCUGCAAAACAUAAAAUAAGCAAACGUGAGUACAAAUGUACCCAGCAAGACUUACAUCAGAACUAUCUACCUAUGCAUCGGUAUCAACAAAGGGGGUGAUGGAGUUUAACUGCAGCAAGCCAGCUUUGACUCGGUGGCUAUCCUAACUAUGACUGCAAGUAACUCUUUUGAGGUGGCGCACACGAGUCCACAUAUUCACCAUAUCAAUACUCCACUAUGGAUCCGCUCCUGUGUCCCUACGAGAACGCCAUCCAUAGCACUCACGCUUAUCUUGCGCAUUUUAGAGUAUCCACUUUCACUUGUCUAUGAACUGUUAUAGGCAACCCAGAAGUCCUUUACCGCGGACACGGCUAUUCGAAUAGAUCAUAUUAACCCUGCAGGGGUGUACUUCGUCACACACGCUCUCACCACUUACCGUCGUUUACACGACAUGUACUCGGCAACCUUCAAGCGGAAGCCCGGCGAGGGUGUCGGCCACGGCCUACCUAAACACUCAAGUCUCUAGUCCAGGUUUAUCGCCUAUUCAGGUUCCAUCCGCAUGGGAGUCCGGCCGAGGUUUCCACAUACGGCCCCGAACGAUGUGUACAGGGUUCCAAGACACCAAACGGGCGCCUGGCAUGCCCGGCCACGUGCCUACCGCAUCACAGCCCACCCCUCGGGUCAGCGCUGCGCACGGCCUCCAGCAUACUACAAACACCAGAAACUACUUGCAACUCCUGGACAGAGGACAAGGGUGAUUAAGAAGCCGAGAGGGUCCAUUGGUUUCGGGCCCAAUGCGUGGUAGUAACUGUUUCAUGGAUCACAAACACAGAACUCAGUUCAUGAGGACGGCUGCAAUGAGACAACCCACCAUGUACUCCUACAUGGCCUCUCAUCGCUACCUUUACCAAAUCGUGUUCACACACUUAGCUCACACACAGUAGGACAUGUUCAUCACCAUUCCAACUCAUCCCCGAUGAAUCAGACCCGACUCAACUCUAAGCAGUAGCAGGCAUGACAAACAAGCAUGAAUGAGUAGGCACAUCAGGGCUCAAACAACUCCUACUCAUGCUAGUGGGUUUCAUCUAUUUACUGUGGCAAUGACAGGUCAUGCAGAGGAUAAGGGGUUCAACUACCGCAGCAAGUAACAAAUGAAUCGUUGUUAUCCUAAUGUAGUAAAAGAGCGCAGGAGCGAGAGAGUGGGAUUGUAUCGGAAUGAACAAGGGGAUUUGCUUGCCUGGCACUUCUGAAGAUAUUAUAGUUCUUCAUCGGUGUCUCGAACUCAUCGUCGGAAUCACGGCUAUCGAGAGGGGACAAUUACCGGCAACAGAGAGGAAACUUAAUCAAUGCAAUGCAACAAUAUGAUGCAUGGUCGUGACAUGUCAAGAAUGUUAUGAUUUACAUUAAUGCAUCUAACAACAGUUUAAAUGAAGUCCAUAUGAACUAAGGGUUCAUAUGCAAACUCCACAUUUAGCAUUUAAAAUGUCAUUAUCAUGUUUUCACCUAUACAGCAGGUAUAACUUAGUUUGACAUGCAUGAAAAUGAUACAGAUGGAUAGAUUGCAUUUUUCUGAUAAUUUUUCAUAUAUAAUUUAUUUCAUUUGGAGUUAUGGUUGAAUUUCUAUGAAUUUUAGAAGUUUUGGGUAUUUUCUGGAAUUUCCUGUAUAAAAAUAAUUCCAGUAAUUAAAUUAAUGCGUCAGCAUUGCGUCAGGGUGACGUCAGCUGGUCAGCGGGGUCGUCCAGGUCAAACCUGACGUGUGGGGUCCACACAUCAGUGUCACUGUUAGUAAACUAACUAAUUUAGAAUUAAUUAAAUGUUAAUCCAGGUUAAUUAGCAGGCGGGCCCCACUUGUCAUUGACUCAGGGGAGGGGGUCAGCCUGGGUCAAACGGGGUCAACUCGCCGGCGUUUAGCCGCCGGCGAGGCCAGACGCGGCGGCGAGCCACGGGUUUGCCCUACGGGGCGCCGUUUGGCGCGCGGAGCACAGCUACGGGAUGCGGACGCUCGUCCGCAUCCAACCGUGGGGGUGGCGCGGCCGGGGAGUGGCCAGAGUGGCGCCGGCGACGAGCUCGGCGGCGGCGCGUGCGGGUGAGCUACGUGCAAUUGCUACGGAGCUCGAGAACGAGAACGAGAAGGGGGAGAAGGUAGCGGAGCUCACUGCGGUCACGUAGAAGCAAACGGCGCGGUCGGGGACGAGCUGACGACGUCGGGAGGUCACCGGCGAUCUCAGAGCAGAGGCGGCGAAGUCGAGGGUGCAGGGGCGAUGCAGGCCGUUCGGCGUUGCCUGACUCGAUUGAGAGGACGAGGGCGUCGAGACGAAGCUGCUGGACAGCACGGGAAGGCGAGGGGAGCACGGUGGCUGCGAGGUUCACGCCGGCGCGAGCUCGGCAGCGUCGGCCAUGGCGGAGGCGAGGCGAGGGAGAGGUGCAGGGGGCGAAUGAGGUGUCGGGGCGGUCGAGCGGGCGACGUGGGCGUCGUCCAGAUCCUCCAGAGGCGUGGGCGGCAAGCAGGUGACGCCGUGGCGCGCGCGGCGGCGUCGCGGUGUCCCUCCUCUGCCUACUGGCAGAGGUGGGGGAUGACUGGCACGGCCGGGUGGGCUGGGCCUCUGCUGGGCCGCGGGUGGGCGCCAGGUAAAUGGCCUCUGGCCUUUCUCUCUCUCUCUCUCUCUCUUUUUCUAAUUUUUAAUUGUUUUUCUAUUUUUCUGUAAGUUUGUUGCAUUAUUAAAAAUACUUAGGCAUCUCCUAAAAUCACCAAAAUGCACAUGGCCACUGUUUAGAAUUUAUAUGGCAUGGAACAUUUUAGUUUGGAAUUAUUUGAGCACUUGAAAUAUUUUAUAUUAUUUAAAUGCCCAAAAUCAAAUAGCUAAUGGAUUAAUCCAGUGACCUUAAGAUGUCCUAGAAAUUUGUGCAUCACUUUUGGCAGUGGUUUAAGACCAAGGCAGAGAUGAUGAACAUUUUAGAAGGGCAUUUCAGGUUCAUUGAAAUUAUUUUUAGUAAACCCUAGUUGUUAACAGGGGGUGCUGGGGUUUCUGUCUUCCCCAUUUCAAGUUUCUGGAAAAAAAGAAACAUGAUGCAACACUCUAAUGCAUGAACUAGCUAGGAUGUGAUAGUACCGGCCUCAGGUCCAGUAGUACCGCAGGUGCUCACGGUUGUACCGCUCCUUGGGAGCGGUAGUACCGUGGCCUCAGGCCAGGCUUAGCUGCUCGAGCAGUUGUAGGGGUGGAUGUAAUUUUUUACAUCCGCGCCCUACAUGGUAGUACCGCGCCAUGGGCGCGGUAGUACCGUGAGCUCUGGCCAGGCGCAGCAGCAUGAGCGGAAGUAGGGGUGGAUGUAAUUUUUUACAUCCGCGCCCUAGGCGGUAGUACCGCUCCAGGCUUGUGGUAGUACCGUGUCGGAUUUUUGCAUGGAUCGGAACUUAGCGGAAGUAGUCAUGGAUGUAUUUUUAUAUGUCUGUGCCUUCCCAGUCUAGACCAACCCUUCCUUGCGGUAGUACCGCAAGGGGGAGCGGUAGUACCGCACCAGCGAUUCUACCGCCCUCGACUUGUUUGCCACAGGUCUGGGUUAGCUCCUGUUGCACCAGCGGUAGUACCGCAGGGCCUUGUGGUAGUACUGUGGGCUCGUGCGGUAGUACCGCUCAUCGCGGGCUGAGUUAGUGGAUAACGGUUGGGUUUGUUCUAUCACUAUAAAAGGGGAGUCUUCUUCUCCGAGUUGACUACCUCUUCUAUCCCCAAGCUCCAUUGUUGCUCUAAGCUCCAUUCUCGCCCAAUCUCUAUCCCUAGCCAAUCAAACUUGUUGAUUCUCUAGGGAUUGGUUGAGAAGGCUCCGAUCUACACUUCCACCAAGAGAAAUUUGAUUCCCCCCACUAAUCCCUUGCUGAUCUUGUUACUCUUGGGUGUUUGAGCACCCUAGACGGUUGAGGUCACCGUGGAGCCAUAUUCCAUUGUGGUGAAGCUUCGUGGUGUCGUUGGGAGCCUCCAAUUAAGUUUUGGAGAUUGCCCCAACCUUGUUUGUAAAGGUUCGGUCGCCGCCUCCAAGGGCACCAAUAGUGGAAUCACGGCAUCUCGCAUUGUGUGAGGGCGUGAGGAGAAUACGGUGGCCUAGUGGCUUCUUGGGGAGCAUUGUGACUCCACACCGCUCCAACGGAGACGUACUUCCCCUCAAAAGGAAGGAACUUCGGUAACACAUCCUCGUCUUCACCGGCUCCACUCUUGGUUAUCUCGUACCUUUACUUGUGCAAGCUUAUAUUGUGUUGUAUCCUUUGCUUGCUUGUGUGCUUGGUGUUGUUGCAUCAUAUAGGUUUCUCACCUAGUUGCAUAUCUAGACAACCUACUUUGAUGCAAAGUUUAAAUUGGUACAGAAAAGCUAAAAAUUGUUAGUUGCCUAUUCACCCCCCCCCCUCUCUAGUCAACUAUAUCGAUCCUUUCAAUUGGUAUCAGAGCCUUGUCUCUUUAUUAAGGACUUUGCCGUCCGAAGAGUAUGGUUGACACCAUAGACGGUGGGGAGGAGCACUCCGGUGUGAAUCCGUUCUCGUCUACGGCCGAUGGGGCAACCACGGUCUCUCGUGAGGAGUUCAAUGUGGCUUUAGACACAUUGAAAAACUCCAUGACGGCCGAGGUCAAAGGAAUGUUUGAGAACUUUCUUGAUGGUCUCAAAUUAUCCACCGCACUGUUGGAAGUGGUCGAUCCCACUAACAAGGUGUCGGAUGCUAACUCCGACAAGGGGGGAGCUACUAGUGAGAAAGUUCCUUUGUCUAGUGGUAAUAAUGAUAGUGGCAUCUUUGCCCAUGUGGAACCACCUCCUACUUAUGGAGGACCUAUUCCCUCCACUCAUUUAAAUCAUGCCGGCCCUCCUCCUAAGAUUGUGAAAAAUGAGGAUUUUGAUGCUUGGGUAUAUCGCUUUAAACGUCAUUUAAACCAUGUUAAUACUAACUUUUGGAGAAUCAUUGAGCAAGGUUUCUAUCCGCAUGACCCAAGAAACUUCACCCCUAGAGAAGUCGCGGAUCAUCAAUUCAACGGGAAUGCUCUCUUCAUCAUCCAAGAUGCAAUUCCAUCCGAAGAUCUUGCACAUCUCCGACCUUUCACCAUGGCCAAGGAACCAUGGCACCAUGUUGUUUCCCUUUACAAGGGAAGCGCAAGCAUUCAACACUCCAACUAUGAAGUGGUGCAAGAUGAGGCCGAUGAGUUUGCAAUGAAUGAAGAUGAAGAACCUCGUGAGCUUUACCGGAGGUUAACCACUCUCGCGGUCUCACUCCGAGAUCAUGGAAGCAAGGAUACGGAUGACAAUUGGAUCAAGCGCAAGUUCCUAAAGGCCAUGAUGCCUUAUCACAAGGCCAUGUCCUCCGUCAUCCAUCAAAGAUCGGACUUCCACACCUUGUCCUCAAGUGAAGUCUUGGAUGAGUUUGUGGCAAUGAGGAUCUUGGACAAGACCGCCGACAAUGCGGUGUUGCGUUCUCAAAGAGCUAAGAAGCCCAACCUUGCUUUGAAGGCCAAGGUUGGUGCGGAAGAAGAGGAUGAAGAGGAAGAAGAAGAGGAGAGCAACCCCGAAGAUACAAAAUGUGCUUAUCAUGAGCACAUGGCUCUCGCUUCAAGGCAAUUUUGGAGCAAGAAGAACUCAAGGCCAAACUUCAACAAGAACAACUCAAGUGGCACGAAGAGAAAGCAACGAGUGAGGACUUGCUACAAUUGUGGCAAUGUGAGUCACUUUGUUGCGGAGUGUCCCUAUGAGAAGAGGGAAGACAAUGGUGGCAAGCUCAUCCGAUAAGACAAGGCCAAGUCCUUCCCCAACAAGAGCAACUUCACCAAGAAGACUCCUCCCAAGGGGUUAGUGGCACAAGAAGAGUAGAAUGAGGAUGAUUAUGAUGAUGAAGACGGUGAGUCGGUUGCCAUGGCCUCCGUUGCCAUUGCGACAACUCCACGGGUGUCUCUCUUCGAGUCACCCAAUGAGAACAUCACCGCCAAGUGCCUCAUGGCUAAAGCCACCAACAAGGUAACCCCCAACAUCAAAACUACCAUCAUUACUAAACCUUCCUUGACGGAUUGCAUUGAUGAAAUUGAGGGGUCUAAUGUGGAGGAAAAUGAAUUUGAGUCUUUUAUGAGUAAGCUCAAGGGUAAAUCCAAAAAGCACUUCGUUGCUCUCUUGGAACAACUUGGUGAAGCCAAUGACAUGAUCGAGGCUCACAAAGAUACCAUCUCUAAGAUGGAGGGGCAUAGUCGUGACUAUGCCGAUGAGAUCUCGGAUCUCUCCAAUGCUCUUGAGGAAGAGUGCGGUCAUCGUUUGGCUCUUGAGGAGUCAUACAACGAGGACCAUGCUAAAUUGAAGAAAGAUCUUAAUCAUGCUCUUGCUGUAUCUCGUGUGCUAAACUUCGAGAAAGCCAAGCUUGGGGUUGAUCUUGCUAGACUCAAAGAGGAGUUUGAUUUACUUGACAAGGCUCACAAGGUCUUGAAGGGUGGUCAUGCUAGCCUCAAAGAGUCUCAUGAUCAACUCCAAGUAAAGCUAACUAAGGAGAAAGCCACUUUCCUUCAUAUGGUCUUAAUUGAUAAUGCAAAUGCUACUAACCCGUGUUGUGAGCAUGUGCAUCUUGUUGAGGAGAAUGCUAAGUUGAAGAAGCAACUUGAGAAAGGCCUUGUGUCGUGCAUACAAGGUGAGAAGAACCUCAACGACCUUUUUGAGCAAUCAAAAGGAAGUUGUGGCCAAGGAAGGGAUUGGGUUCACACCCAAACCCAAGAACAAGAAGAAGAAUGACAAGGCCAAACGGCCCCCUCCUCUCAAGCAAACCUUUGUGAAAGAGGGAGAGUGCGCUCCUAAGGAGAAGAAGAACAAUGUGAAGGGUGGUGGUGUCAAGAAGGGCAAUGCCACCCCUUCCAACAAAGCCGGCGACUUUAACCCUUCCUAUGUGUUAUGCCGUGCUAGUGAUGGGCAUGUUUAUGCUAAAUUUGUUGGUUCUCCUUAUGAGUACAUUGAAUGGUCUAUUUGGGUUCCUAAGACCCUUGUCACUAACAUCAAAGGACCCAUUACAAAAUGGGUACCUAAAACCAAGCAUUGAUCUCUUGUAGGUGUUUGCUUCCGGUGGGGGAUCAUGGUUGCUCGAUAAUGGAGCCACUAAUCAUAUGACCGGAAGCAAGGACUUGGUGGUGGACAUGCACAAGAUUCCAUCGGUGCCCGCCAAUGUCGAGUGGGGUGACGCCUCAUCCUCUAAGGUAUUGGGACUUGGCAAGGUUGUCAUCUCUCAUGAUCUCACGAUCGAGAAGGUCAUGCUUGUUGAGUCCCUCGCAUACAAUUUACUUUCCGUUCGUCAACUUGCAAUCAUGGGCUUUGUCACUUUCUUUGAUAUUGAUACCGUGGACCUAUUAUGGAGCAAGACUCUUAAAGUAUCCUUUGUUGGGCAUGUCGAGAAUGGUCUCUAUGUGAUUAACUUUUUGGAGCGACCCACUAAGACCGCGACAUGCCUAAUGGCUAAAGUUGACGUGGGAUGGCUUUGGCAUCGCCGUUUAGCCCAUGUCAAUAUGAGAUCUUUGCAAAGUCUUCUCAAGGGGGACCAUGUUCGUGGACUAACAAAUGUUAGUUUUGCCAAAGAUCGUGCUUGCAGUGCUUGUAUCGAAGGAAAGCUACAUGAGAAGGCUCACCCUCCCACGACUAUCAUCUACUCGAAGAGGCCUUUGGAGCUCCUUCACUUGGAUCUCUUUGGGCCUCCAUCCUUUGAUAGUCUUGGGGGUAGGAAGUAUUGCUUGGUGAUUGUGGAUGAUUAUUCAAGAUACACUUGGGUAUACUUCUUCAAGAGGAAGAGUGAGACCCAACAAACCAUCAUUGACUUUGCAAAUGAAGCCCAACGCCAACACAAUGCAAAGAUCUUGACAAUAAGAAGUGACAACGGCACCAAGUUCAAGAACUACACCUUGGAUGAGUUUCUUAGUGAUGAGGGGAUCAAGCAUCAAUAUUCCGCACCUUAUACCCCUCAACAAAAUGGUGUAGCAGAGAGGAAGAACCAGACGUUGAUGGAUGCGGCAAGGACCAUGAUGGCGGAGUUCAAGUCUCCAUACAACUUUUGGGCCGAAGCCAUCAACACUGCGUGUCAUGCAUCCAAUCGGCUCUAUCUGCGCAAAGGCUUCAACAAGACUCCAUAUGAGAUACUCACCGUAACAAGCCCAACCUCAAGUACUUUCGGGUGUUCGGGUGUAAGUGUUUCAUUCUCAAGAAAGGUGUUCGUUUGCCUAAAUUUGAGGCUAGAGCUCAAGAGCGCAUAUUUGUUGGUUAUGCUACAAACUCUCAUGCUUACUGUGUCCUCAGAUAAGUCCACGGGACUUAUUGAAGAGACGUGUAACGUGGAGUUUGAUGAGAAUAACGGCUCCCAAGUGGAGCAAAGUGGCACUUGUGAUGUAGGUGAUGAAAUUCCUCCCCAAGCCAUAAGAAGAAUGGGUGUUGGUUUAUCCUACCCAUUGAGGAACCCCUUGUGGCUGAAGGAGAAGGACAAUGUUCCACUCAAGUGGAACCAUCACCAACCCAAGGCCCACACGCUUCCGAAGAACAAAGUGAAGGCCCUCAACCUCAUGAACAAGACCAAGGGCAAGAUCAAUCUCAAGAUGGUGUUGAACCACCAAGUGAUGCCCAAGGUCAAGUUCUCUCCCCCGAGCAAGUUCAAGAUCAAGAGCAAGCUCAAGAUCAAGAACAAGCUCAAGACGACGCUCAAGAUGAUCAAGUGACCACUCCUCAACUCACUCCUGAGGAGGAAUUGGAGCGUCGUGGCGCCAAGAUUGCAUCCAAGCUCUCUACCAAGGGUCAUCUCAUGACAAAUGUGCUUGGAAGCAUACGAAAGGGGGUAAGCACUCGUAGACAAUUGGCAAACUAUUGUGAACAUCACGCGUUUGUCUCUUGUGUUGAACCCCAAAAGGUCUAUGAGGCGCUCGAAGAUCCGGAUUGGCUUAAUGCCAUGCAUGAAGAACUCAACAACUUCGAGCACAACAUGGCGUGGAGAUUGGUACGAAGGCCAACGGGGAACCAUAAUGUCAUUGGAACCAAGUGGAUAUUCAAGAACAAGCAAGAUGCUCAUGGAAUUAUAGUCUGCAACAAGGCUCGUUUGGUAGCACAAGGCUACUCCCAAGUCGAGGGUAUCGACUACGGUGAAACCUUUGCUCCCAUUGCUCGCCUUGAAUCUAUUCGUUUGUUGAUUGCUUAUGCUUCUCAUCAUAAUUUCAAGUUGCAACAAAUGGAUGUGAAAAGUGCUUUUCUUAAUGGUCCUAUUAAUGAGUUGGUGUAUGUCAAACAACCCCUCGGGUUCGAGGAUCCCUAUUUCCCCGAUCAUGUGUACCAACUCGAUAAGGCACUCUAUGGCCUUAAACAAGCCCCACGUGUGUGGUAUGACCACCUUACUGAGUUGUUGCAAGGUCGUGGAUUUGAAAUUGGAAAAAUCGACCCCACUCUUUUUACUAAGAAGGUAAAAGGGGAGUUGUUUGUGUGCCAACUAUAUGUUGAUGAUAUUAUCUUUGGUUCCCCUAACAAAGCUUUCAAUGAGGAAUUCGCCGCUCUCAUGACCUCAAAGUUCAAGAUCUCCAUGAUGGGAGAGUUGAAGUUCUUUCUCAGGUUCGAAGUCAAGCAAAGAAGAGAAGGGACCUUCAUCAACCAAGACAAAUACACUCAAGACAUGCUCAAGAGAUUCAAGCUAAGUGAUGUCAAGCCGGCUUCCACUCCAAUGCCCGUCAAAUACCAACUUGACAUAGAUCCCAAUGGUAAAGCGGUGGAUCAAAAGGCAUAUCACUCCAUGAUUGGCUCCUUGCUUUACCUUUGUGCAUCUAGACCGGAUAUCAUGUUGAGUGUGGGAAUUUGUGCACGGUUUCAAGCCGCACCUAAGGAAAGCCACUGUGUGGCGGUCAAGCGGAUCUUUCGAUAUUUGUCUCAUACCCCAAACUUUUGCUUAUGGUACCCAAGAGGAGCAAGCUUCAACCUUGUACGCUACUCGGACUCCGAUUGGGCGGGAGACAAAGUGGAUAGGAAGUCAACUUCCGGAGGGUGCCAAUUCCUUGGUUGCUCUUUGGUGAGUUGGUCUUCUAAGAAGCAAAGUUGUGUGUCUCUCUCGUCCAUCAAAGCGGAGUAUGUGGCCGCCGGUAGUUGUUGUGCACAACUUCUAUGGAUGAGGCAAAAUUUAAAGGAUUACGGUGUCAUUUGUGACAAAGCGCCUCUUUGGUGUGACAAUGAAAGUGCCAUCAAGAUUUCUCUCAACCGGUGCAACACUUCAAGACGAAGCACAUUGAGAUUCGGUAUCACUUCAUCCGGGAUCACAUUAGGCGAGGGGAGAUCAAGCUCAACUAUGUCAACACUCAUGAUAACCUUGCAGAUAUCUUCACGAAGCCCUUGGAUGAAGCAAGAUUUCGUGAGUUAAGGCAUGAGCUAAAUAUCAUUGAUUCGAGCAAUGUGGCUUGAACCCUUGCACACCCCACCAUACUCAACUUGUUAUCUUGUUUAGGUGUAGGCAUGGACAUAGGGGGAGUGUUGUUCUCUCAAUGAACUCUCCCUCCCCCAUUAUGCAUAAAUUGAUCAACUCUUUCACAUUAGCCAUUUUUUAUGGUACUUGUGCUUCAAAGACGAGUUUUGGUCAUGGGCCCAAGGAUAAUUCUUCGCGGUGCCAUACCAAUUGACUCAAACAUAGGUGGCUCCGGCCACCUCCCUCUCUUUGGAGAGGUUGUGUCGUGUGUUUGGUCCUUGUUGUCUCUUGCCUUUCCUUCUUCAUGCCGAGCUCGUGUUUGAGUUCCUCAUGUGUUAGCUCUUGGUGUGUCCUUUCGCUUGAAGGUUGUAUUGCAAAGGCUGUUUUCCUCUUUUGCGAAACUUGCACUUUCUUGGGUUUGCAGUACUACCGUGGCUUGCCACGGUACUACCGCAGGAGCUUCGGACGGUACUACCGCAACCAGCACAGCAGUAAUUUUUUACCUCCGCUGGAUGAGCGGUACUACCGCCCCGUGUGCGGUACUUCCGCCCGGGUAGUACUACCGCGCAGACGCGAGCGCGUGGGGAUUAAGAGCGGGCAGGGGGAGUUCCAACUUCCCCAUACCCAUUCAACUCUUUUUUCCCAUGUCGUAUCUCUCUCCUGCCCAAGAACGGCGCCGGAGGACCUCGCCGGAUCUCCAUCUCCGGCCACUCUCCUCGCAUUCCGACCGGUGGGAUCGAUCCCCACCUCACCCUCUUGCCAUGGAACAAGGUUUCUCCCCAAAUCCCUCUCUCUUUGCCUCAUUAUCUUGUCUUUAGGUUUUGGGGAGAUACUUUGUGUUCUUGAGAUUUUAGGCCAAAUCUUUGCAAGAGUAGGAUGUAGGAGAGUUGUAGUGCUAUAGAGAUGCUAUUUGGUAUGUUGCUACUCGGUAGUUUUGAUCAACCGUAGUACCGCUCCAUUGUCACGGAUGUUCCCAGAUCUGAUUCAUUUUGAAUCUGAUCCGAGCGGUACUACCGCAACUCUCGUACGGUACUACCGCUCUGGGCGCUUUCGCCUCAUACGGUACUAUCGCUUCUUCGCAGCGGUACUACCGCACGCGGCGCGGAAGUAAAAUUUUACUUCCGCUCUAGGCGCGGUACUACCGUGCCAUCUCGGCGCGGUACUACCGCGGCUAGAGUGGUACUAAAAAUUUAGUUCCGCUUCAUGGAGCAGUACUACCGUUGACCUCAAACCUUCCUCGUGGCUACUACCCAAUGUUACCUCUACUUGUUUCGUUUGUUUUUGCUGUGGUCUUUGCAUUGAUCCUUCUUGCUUCUCUUGUGUGUUCUUGUGUUGUGUGACAUAGGUGUUGGCUCCGUUUCCACUGUCCGCCGUUGGAAUCCAAGCCGUGACACGGGCUCCAAGCGCCUGCGCAACCAAGAUGAAGCUCCAGAGGGAUCCAAUGCCCCCAACACAGAACCAAGACCACCUCCACCAAGAACAAGGAGCCCUCAAUGGGCAUGGAUGAGAUACCUCUUGCUGAGUUUGUCACUCGAAGGAGGAUCAACCCCUAUGUGAAUCCCCGUGCAAACUUCAUAGGGAAUGAUUUGUUCUGGACCAAGCAGCAGAAUCUUAUCUAUCUGGAUGUGAUCAAGGCUAAGCAGAACAUCUACAUGGACGUGCACUGGAUUGACAUGAAUCAUAUGAGGCAGGAUAAGCACCGUGACUAUUUUGGUGAGGCUUUGGACCUUGUGGAGCAGUUUGGCAUUGAGGACGUGAUCUCUUUCCACCUGGACUUUGAUCCUCAGAUUGUGGCCUAGUUCUUUGCUUCGGUCCACUUCCAUACUGAUGAGGAACGGACCCUAACCUGGAUGGCCAAUGGACAACAGAUGAUUGCUAAGUGGAAGGACUUCAUGGCUUUGCUACAGGUGCCUGAUGAGGGGCUCAACACGCCCGUUGGUGUUCGCCCUCGUGCCAACCCCGAGUCCGCUAGCAAGAACAAGCUCCAGCAGUACUAUGUUGAGAAGAAUCUUCCCAAUGACAAGAAGACGUGGGUGCUGAACCCAUUCCUUGACAUCAUGCACCGGAUCUUCCGCAACUCCCUCUUUCCACGCAUUGGUGACAAGGACAAGGUGCAUGCCUAUCUGGUGGAUAUGAUGCUCAUUUGUGAGGAGGCGCGUCACACUCAGACACAACCACUUGACAUCUCACACAUCAUGUGGUGCGAGCUACGGUUUGUGGUGUUCAACCGUAAGGUACCCAUCUAUGGACCUUACCUGUUUCUCUUGAUCACGAGGACUUGGGAGAAGCUCUAUCCCGAUGAGGAGUUUAUUGCCCCUGACUGGAUCCGUCACGACCCCAUCAAGCUCCGCAUCAAGCCUCAAUGGGCUAACACCACUACCUGUGCUGAGGCAGAGGCUACUCAAAUGGACAUGGACAAGGAUGAGAUUGAGGAGGAGGAAGCGGAUGAGGACAGCUCUGCUGGAUAUGCUCCUCCCUCUACUGAGCCUUCUUGGGCUAAGAAGCUGAAGAACAAGAUGAAGGCUCUGUUCUGCAUGCAGACCAAGGGCCAGUACAGGACCCAUGUUGCUUCCAAGGAGAGUCACCGCCGCGACAAGAGGAUCUUGAGGACGUUUGGCGAGGAGAUAUCCAGUGGGUCUGAGAAGCACAUCACGCCAGAGGCAGAAUGGAUGACGAAGCAGAGCUACCAGUGGACUGAAUCUGAGGAGGAGCCCAUCCCCGCUGCCGAGUCCGACGAGGAGCGUGACGAGUGAUCUAUUCAGCUUGGGACACCACUUGUGUCGUAGGUGUCCUCUCUGCCUUUUUGGUGUCUCGAUGCCAAAGGGGGAGAUAGUGUAGGAUUUGCGCUUUGUGUGUCGUCUGUCACUUUGCUUUCAUUCAGUUGGACCUCGUUUGCUUUGGUUUGUUUUGUGCUUGUGAGACCAGGUUCUCUUUCAUAUGGUGUAAGACAUAUGCACUCUAGCGUACCUUAAUCUCUCUCAGACUUAGUAGCCCGUGAGCCUAUGUUAUCUUGUGCCCUUUACUUUAUGCUCUUAGUUUUUAUCUUGCCUCCUUGCUUAGUGUUAGCUAUAUUGUUGCAAGAUAUGCCUUGUCUAUAAAAUAUAGGGGGAGUGUUGAUCCUAGUAUGUGUGCCGUGCAGUCCAAAGCAUUUCUCUAGAAAGCACACAUCUAGGGGGAGCCCGUCUAUAUUUUAUAGAUGUGGGGUUUGCCUAUGUUCUAUUUUAUAUCCCUAUGUGCAAAUCUCGUAUUGUCAUCAAUCCACCAAAAAGGGGGAGAUUGUAAGGGCGUAUUUAUCCCUUAGUUGUUUUGGUGAUUGAUGACAAUGCUUUUGCGGACUAAUCGUGUGCAUUGAGCAUUUCAGACAUAUCAUGACUAGGCACAAGACGAUUUGGUGCCCCUCGAAGACUAUUGAAGACGGCGUUUCUCUAUGUUUCUUUUUGGUGGAUUUGAGUCGUAGGAAAGCCGUACUAUUAAGAGGGGGUCCGCGUUGGAAAGGUUUGGGUGGAAUCAACACGUACACGUCUGUUUCUUUUUUGCACCACCUUUCCUUUGGCUCUUUGGGGAAUCCACUGUUUCUCCAUGUCUCUGCAAAAUGAACGACUCCUAGUGUUGCUGAACUGGGGCAUGCGGUAGUACUGCUCUUUGGAGCGGUAGUACCGCAGGCCCUUGCGGUAGUACCGGCCUCAGGUGCGGUAGUACCGCAGGUGCUCACGGUAGUACUGCUCCUUGGGAGCGGUAGUACCGUGGCCUCAGGCCAGGCUCAGCUGCUCGAGCGGUUGUAGGGGCGGAUGUAAUUUUUUACAUCCGCGCCCUACACGGUAGUAUCGCGCCAUGGGCACGGUAGUACCGCGAGCUCUGGCCAGGCGCAGCAGCAUGAGCGGAAGUAGGGGCGGAUGUAAUUUUUUACAUCCGCGCCCUACGCGGUAGUACCGCUCCAGGCUUGCGGUAGUACCGUGUCAGAUUUUUGCAUGGAGCGGAACUCAGCGGAAGUAGCCACGGAUGUAUUUUUAUAUGUCUGUGCCUUCCUAGUCUAGACCAACCCUGCCUUGCGGUAGUACCGCAAAGGGGACCGGUAGUACCGCGCCAGCGGUUCUACCACCCUCGGCUUCUUUGCCACAGGUCUGGGUUAGCUCCUGCCGCGCCAGCGGUAGUACCGCAGGGCCUUGCGGUAGUACUGUGGGCUCGUGCGGUAGUACCGCUUGUUGUGUGUGGUAGUACCGCUCGUCGCGGGCUGAGUUAGUGGAUAAUGGUUGGAUUUGUUCCAUCAGUAUAAAAGGGGAGUCUUCUUCUCUAAGUUGACUACCUCUUCUAUCCCCAAGCUCCAUUGUUGCUCUAAGCUCCAUUUUCGCCCGAUCUCUCUCCCUAGCCAAUCAAACUUGUUGAUUCUCUAGGGAUUGGUUGAGAAGGCUCCGAUCUACACUUCCACCAAGAGAAAUUUUCUUCCCCCCACUAAUCCCUUGCGGAUCUUGUUACUCUUGGGUGUUUGAGCACCCUAGACGGUUGAGGUCACCGCGGAGCCAUAUUCCAUUGUGGUGAAGCUUCGUGGUGUCGUUGGGAGCCUCCAGUUAAGUUGUGGAGAUUGCCGUAACCUUGUUCGUAAAGGUCCGGUCGCCACCUCCAAGGGCACCAAUAGUGGAAUCACGGCAUCUCGCAUUAUGUGAGGGCGUGAGGAGAAUACGGUGGCCCUAGUGGCUUCUUGGGGAGCAUUGUGCCUCCACACCGCUCCAACGGAGAUGUACUUCCCCUCAAAAGGAAGGAACUUCAGUAACACAUCCUCGUCUUCACUGGCUCCACUCUUGGUUAUCUCGUACCUUUACUUGUGCAAGCUUAUAUUGUGUUGUAUCCUUUGCUUGCUUGUGUGCUUGUUGUUGUUGCAUCAUAUAGGUUGCUCACCUAGUUGCAUAUCUAGACAACCUACUUUGAUGCAAAGUUUAAAUUGGUAAAGAAAAGCUAAAAAUUGUUAGUUGCCUAUUCCCCCCCCCCUCUAGUCAACUAUAUCGAUCCUUUCAUUAGGGAUAAUGCCGGACACCUUGUUCGCCAAAAGAAUCCCAAGGAAUCAUAUUUCACUCAUACUAACAUUGUGCUUCGUCGAACUGUUUGUUGACGAGGUGGAGCUAUUCGUCGGAGGGCUUAAGCUUCCGAUUCAUCUCAGCGAGUUCGGCGGCAUUGACUGCCGCUGCUAAUGUUGAAUCCUGCAUUCAUGUAACAAGCACCUCGGUUAGCCUAUCAUUCGGGCGAUCUGGAUCCUCGUCAGGUUUCUUUUCAAAACCUGCCAGAGUCUCGGGGGCUACUAUAUAUAAGGAUCGUUAAUAUCCUGACUAUAAAAUAUACUUUUAUGAAGGAAAGAACAUUACUUCGCUUACCUCAAAGCCUGACAGGAGGCCGUCAAAAGCUUGUUUCAAUCCGCUGUUAACAGACUAAACGUUUCGUCAAACCGCGCCCAUCAGGUCCGGCCGCUCCGCCGCGACCCAAACCCAGUGCUCGGCGCCGGUGGUAGGGCCUCAACUCCCCCUUUGUUGAGGGGUAGCUGUGACGCUUCGGAAGGCCUUGAAGGCUCUGGAAUCGUCUUCUGAGAACGCUCGGUUUCCCAAGCCCCUUCUCGUGGUCUUUGGCGGUCGAAGUGCCAGCUUCGGCCAUGUCAACAUUCACAUCACCCCCCGUGUUCGUCACGGGCGGGGCCCUCUGGGACGGCACCUCCUCGGUCUCGCCGACGACCGGAGGAGGCGCAGAAUGCGAGUCACCCCCGCUUUCCGCCAGAUCGGCUGGCGGAGAGGCGCCCUCCGAUAUCUCGUAGGUAAGGAGUUCGGCAGCAGGCUACAACAUGAGUAUGCACAUGCAGUUAGUAUUGGGUUAGUAAAACCAAUACCCAGGCAGUGUUCGGAUUCUCACCUUUCCGUGCUGGGCUUGACCCUGUGAACCUUCUCCCGGACCUUCUCGGAGGCUACGGACUCCUUGUCUGAGUCCGAAGUGUCAUCGGGUAUGACCAGCUUCCCCCUACUCCUCUUCGGGGGUGCCCUUCUUCGACCUUGGCGGAGGCCGCUCUGUUUUUGGUACGGGGGGCUCACUCUCCUCUUCCCCCUCCUCGUCCUGCUCCCCCUCAUGCGUGGCGGGGGUGUGGGUGUCCUGGACUUGGUGUCCGAAGGGAUCCGCAGGCGGAGGCCUUCCCAGGCCUCCCUCACUGGGUUCUUCUUUUUCUUUUUCUCCUUUUCUCUGGCGCCUUAUAAGGCAUCACGACCAGCAUUUCUUCCAGCUGAGCCAACUUGGGGUCUUCGGGCAGCGGAGUCAGACUAUUCAUCUUCUAGGCCUUCUCAAGUCGACCCUGUGGAAAUAGGAGAGCGGAGAGUCAAUCUACUAUAAUGUGAAUGUCUGACUUUGGAGUGGAUGAAAACCUUGUUACCUUCUUAGGAGGGUGUUCGGCGUCGAGGCCGACAUCCUCCUCAUCUUCUGCUGGCAAUCCUCUUUCUUGGGAUUUGAAUAGCGCCCUCCACAGAUUGUCAUAGGUGGUGUCGAGGAAGUGGCGCACGGUGGUGGGGUCUUCGUACUUGUAUUCCCACAUUGGGGUGUCCCGCUGUUGGCAAGGGAGGAGGCGGCGGCUGAGUAUCACCUGGAUCAUGCUGGUUAGCUAGAUACGAGCCUUCUUCAUGCUAAGGCUUCAUUUCUGCAGCAUUUCCACUUCUUCGGAGGGCCCCCAGUCGGGGCUCUUCUUGGCCCACGACGUCAGCCUCAUGGGUGGUCCGGAUAUGAACUCACGGGCGGCUGCCCAGGCUGCGUCGCAUGGUUCUGUAAUGUAAAACCACUCUCUCUGCCAGACCUUGACAGUGUCUAUAAACGUGCCCACCGGCCACUCUACACGAGUAAGCUUGCUAACCAUGGCUCCCCGCGAUGCGUUUAUUGGCCGUCUACAAUCUUCGGCUUCACAUUGAAUACCUUCAGCCAUAAGCCAAAGUGCGUAUGGAUCCGGAGGAAAGCCUCACAAAUGAUGAUGAAGGAUGAAAGAUGGAGGAUGGAGUUCGGGGCUAGAUCAUGAAAGUCUAGCCCAUAAAAGUACAUCAACCCUCGAACGAAGGGGUGGAGUAGAAAGCCUAGCCCCCUGAUGAAGUGGGGGGGGGGACAAACACCACCCUCUCGCUAGGCCACGAUGUGGGAAUGACCUGGCCUACUUCUGGCGCCCGGUGAGCGACCGCGGCUGGGAGAUAGCCAGCGCGCUUCAAGUCCUCGAUAUCCUUAUUGGUGACGGUCGAGGCCUCCCAUUUGCCCCUGCGUCGGAUCCCGCCAUCGUGAAGUGCGGGGAGUGGAGCUUUGGGGAAAAGUUGAGACGGGGCGCUUGAGCUCUGUGGAACAGGAGAAAUGCGGCGAAAGGAGGAAGAAAGGCGUACGGGGAUAACUGUGGUUGUUACCUUUUUUAUAAACAGUCAAGAUACCAGGAGUCCUUUAAAUGCGUCAUUGGCCUACCCAAGAUCCGCCUGUUUUGACACCGACACGCGAGAUCAAGGGAGAACUUGUGUAUCUCAAAGGGGACGCCCCCUCACAUAUAUAUUGGUGGAGGGAGGGCUAGGCUGACUUGGAGGAGGGAAAACCCUCCCUUCGGUCGUAGCCAAGGUGGAGGAGUCCUCCUCCAACUCCCCUAUGCCCCUUAGCUUGUGAAAUAAGCUAAAAGGGGGUGCCAUCCCUACAUAGGCCUUCGAGGCCCAUUAGCUCCCCAGUAAUAGAUGAAUUGAUAUUUCCUUUAGCCCAUUGAUUCUAGAUAAAUUCUAGGGACUCGUAGAUCAUUAUCUAAGUCCUCUAUUAUUUAUAUUAGGUCCUCGGAAACAAUAUGCCUAUAUAUCAUUUCCUGGUAUUACCCGGUAUUCCCCAAAAUUGUUCCCAUAACCCCGAAACGCUUCCGGUUUCUCUCCAAACUAUUCCGAUAAUAUUUUCUAUUAACUCGCAUUCCACUAAUACUCAACAGAUUGUGAUUCCCUUAAGCUUGGGACCCUGCAGGUUCUGUAAAAGAUAGACAUGAAUGAAACUCCCUUUCGUUCAAUGACCAAUAGCGGAACCGUGGAUAUCCAUGAUCCCUGUGAGUACACAAAUGAUAUUAGAGUGAACCUUUGGUUAUCAAUGAUAUUCCCUUUGCUUUGCGAUACUUUACAAAACACGUGGUGAGAUAUAUUGGUAUCCUCUUGAGUCAUUCUCAUGCUCACUAUAUCGGUCUCGUCGUUACCAGUUUUGCUCUUAUUUCUCGUUGAGAUGUUCCAGCAUCCCUGUGACCUAGUCACCUGUGUCUAGCCAGACAAUUAUGGAUGUCGUCACACCAAAAGGGCCCUAAGAAUAUCUCUCCAUCAUCGAAGGAGCAGAUCCCACUCUUGAUCUAUCUAGCCCCUUGUCAAACUUACCGAUGAACCUAUAAGUUGUUGUUGUGAUCACCAUGUUACAAAUGACGUUUGAGCAACCCCAAAGUCCAUCGUAUGGAAAGAAGCGACUGCAAUACUCCCAUGGUCUAAGAACUAAAGCAUACAUUAACUCUCUGUGUUAUAUCUAUUGACUUUUGAUUGUAGUAUCUCAAAUUAUAAUAAACAAGUUGGGUCAAUUCAAUAUGAUCAUUCUUCUAACAUGAUACUCUCAAAGUUGUUUGGGAACUAUAGUUACACUUAACAAUAUCCCAAGAUCUGGAAAGCAUGAUCACAAACAACACUUGAGAUAGUCCUAGAGGCGAGACUAGGAAUCAGGUUUUACCAUUUAUCAUUCCACAGGUGCUUAUGAUUUUUCCACUGAAUUGCAUAUUCCAAAAUCAUAGAAGUUAUAGCAUAGAACAUAAACUUUUAAUUACAAACGCAGAAAUAAAUAAUACAAUGUUAUUGCCUCUAGGGCAUAUUUUCAACAACAAGCUCUAGCAAUGAAGCUUUCCCAAAAUCGGUGAGUGGUUAGGGCUUGAGUACAUCAACUCCUCCAGAACUAUCUAUCCCGAACGAUGUACAAGACAAGCUUUCUCAAUUAAGCCUUGAAUACUCAGGGCUUGGCAUACGUGCUUCGCUCGGUUACACUUGAAGAGGAGAUGCUUAAUGUCUUACGCUCCAAUCCCACAGAAUAGGCAUUUCCCUCUCACUUUGAUAUGGCGGUUCGCCAGGGUAACCCAACAAGGAAUAGUAUUAUGCAUAACUCUCCAAAAUAUAACCUUCACUAACACUUUGAGUCCCCAUAUUUUAUCCCAAAUUGGAUGAGGUUAUAUACCGAUUUCUUGAUCACCUAUGUUUAACCUUUGGCCAUAUUGGCCCUCUCAUUCUACAUAAUGUGAUGAAUGCAGAGAGAACGUGCUCGUAUGAGUCAGGUUCCAAGCAACAAAAUCUUGCAUGCCAAAAGAUGAUAAAAGGGAUAGCAAGAAUUCUUUGAACAUAUACUUGCCAAAAAGUCACCUUCACUAGGUCCACAUCCCAGUGAUCUGUGUUGUGAUCAAUAAGGUCGCUCACCCUACUAAGAAUGUUUUGGCUCCUUCUAGUUGUUACUUUACUUGAUGCACUAUUUGGGAUCCAUCCGUCUUUUCAGAUAUCAACCUUAGCUCCAUCUCCCACAUGCCAUAUAUGACCAUGUUUUAUGUAAGAGGAAUAGAGAGGAGAGAUAAUUGGCGUAAUGUGGUGUGUGUUGUAUUGAGCCUCUCAGGCGGUUUAUAUAGAGUACAUGGCUUGCAGAGCAAGAAGUCUCUCCUAGAGAUAAGGCAGGAGAUGAUUUCAAAUCAUAUCUACCAAAUACAAGAUAUAUGCCUAGAUACUCUAACAUCUAACCACAGUCGUACCGGUAGCAUCGCACACAGCAGCAGCGUCACGGACGGUCAAACUGGAGAGAAAUCGGCGUAGAAGCCGACGAGCUGACAUCCCCCCGCAGUCGUAGUGGGAGCGCUAUGGACGGUGUCGCAUCACGGACAUGUUGACUAUAGAGGAAGCCGCCGAGUUGCUCAAGCGAGGUGAUAGCCCUUGGUGUCGAAUUCAAGGAAGUCGAGAGCAUGGGUGGCGGAGUUGUGGUCCAGGUAGCCGUGCGAGGGGUUGUCGUGGUCGGGUGUCGAUGUCGAGGUACCCGCACAUGAAGCUGCAUGCGCAUAGUGCGUGAAGAGAGUAACGGAGACGCGUCGAGGCAGUCAUCAAGGAAGCCAAUGUCGAAGGAGACACAGUCUGAGCCGUCGAGGACGAGGUGCGGCCAUAGUUUUGCCAGAACUAGUCGCAUGUCGGGGACGAAGGCAUACUCUGGUUUUGCCAGAACCGAGUGCGCAAAGAAGAACUCAGCGGUGACAUGGUCGAGGUAUUCAUAGAGGAGGGUGUCGCUGCCAAUGAAGAAGUUUCUGAUGCUGAUGAAGACGAGGCGACAAUCCGACCUUUCCAGACUCGGGAACGUGUCGAGGAAGAAGGCACGUACCGAUGUUGCCAGUACCGGGCAUGCGAAUGUAGGGGCCAUCAUGACAUGUGCGCCAUUGUCGUAGGGGCUAGCAGAGGAGGCCUUUGUGACAGUUGCGAGGCACAGAGCGGCUAAGAGAGAGAAGUGAUGGUGUAGUUCACGGUUCUCGGAGUAGACGAAGUAGUCGGGGACAAGAUGGCGUUGGCGACAAAGUCGUGGUGAAUGAAGACAUCCGCAGGACAUGCAACGUGGAGGAGCUGCCAUGCAGGUUGCCAGUAUAAGUGCGGCGGUGGUGCUUGAAGUUGCCAAACACGUGCGCGGACGGUGGCGAUCACGUGUCGUGGAAGGCGGUGCAUGAGAGCCGGGGACGUCGGUUGCACGGACACGAUGAAGAUGACCGCAUGCAGCAGCGCCACGGCGCGAAGGGGCGACGCAGCAGCAGCGCGCGUGUCGAGGCGACGGCGGCGAAGACCUCGGGGUGGUGGCAUGGACCGCAUGUCGUGGUGCUACGGCCCGAAGGGGCGACAUAGCGACUGUGCGCGGGUCGAUGCAACUGUGGGGAGAAUCUCGAGGCAGCGGCAUGGACCGGGUGUCGCGGCGUAAUGGCCCAAAGGGGCGAUGGCGGGAGCGGCACGCGGGUCAGCGCCACCGUAGGGAGGACCUCGAGUGAUGACACUGUGGUCCAAAGGGACGAUGCAGUGGAAACUCGUGGCUCCAUCCGUGGUAGGCACAUGCUCGAGGACGUGCUUGGCGAAGACGUGCACGGGGUCGGCUGGUCAGACUGACGGCGGUGUUGUACGCGCCAUUGCGUGGAUGACGCGUAGAUCGGAGUACAUGGCGACGUUGUCGGUGAUGUCGGGUGGUGACAAUGAAGACGGGUCGACGAUGGAGACCAUGCGGACGAGAGCGGCUGACAAUGACGCAUGAAGGAGUCCCUUGUGCGGCGCGUCCCUUGUGCGGCGCGUCCAGCCUUGUCGCGCGGUUGAUGAUGAACUGGUCGAUCUAGACCGGCCAAGUGACCGACAGAGAGAAAUCUGAUCUAGAAUCGAAAAACUCACCAGGGCAGCCGAUCACAUAUCGGCGAACAAACCCUGCUACGGGUUCCGCGGCCCCGGCGGCGAUCAUAGAGAUCAAUCGCCCCGGGGGCGGCACGGUGCAGAAGCGGCGGCGGCUAGGGUUUGGGUCGGGAUUAGUUUGAUACCAUGUAAAACGAUAGUGAGAGAGAAGGAUUGGCGUAAUGCGUUGUGUGUUGUAUUGAGCCUCUCAAGCGGUUUAUAUAAAGUACAUGGCUUUAAGGGCAAGAAACAUUUCCUAGAGAUAAGGCAUGUCCUAGAGACAAGGCAUGCAAUGAUUACAAAUCAUAUGCUACAAAUACAAGAGAUGUGUCUAGAUACUCUAACGUUUUAAUGUAUUAAUCCAGGCCACAUACUUUGUCAUGUAAAUAAGCUCCCUUUUUUCAACUUCGUGUUCAACGAUCUCCUGAGGACAAAUACCUUGCACGCAACACAGUAGCACAAAAGAGAAUCAGGGUUCUAUAUUAUCACCAUGAUUGCUUUGCUAAUAAGGAUAGAUUAAAGCAGUGGAUAUCCUUGAAACCCUUUCCUCCUAAUUUCUUCAGAAUGCACUGUCUUUGAUCUGCAUCAUCGCCCCACCAACAUAUUUUCAGUGAUCCAUUUGUAGAUUUGUUUUAUCGCAUAUGAUUGUACCCCCUGCGCAAUCGCUCUCAGAAGCUUUUCUUACCACCCGUGGAUAAUUUUUUUUUUUCUUUUCAACCAAGCAGUCUCUUUAACACUAUCAACCAAGAAUUGAAAAUUAUCACUUCUGUCGGCAGCAACAAUCUGUCCCAAGCAAUUAGCAUCAUAGCUUGCAUUAAAGAUCAAGGAAUCAUUAGCUAAUAGGAGAUUAAAUAUUGCUUCUUCUUUUUUAGGCUAGUCAUAGUAGGGGUAACUUAGGUAGUAACUUAACAUAUCCCAAAAUAAUUUUGCUUAUGUGGCGAGUAUUUAAUAAGAAAAGAGAUGCUUGUGAUAACUAUAACAUAGCGUUUUCCGAGGCAAAAUGAGUCUAUGAGCUAAUAAAUGAAUCCAUUUAUGAUACUACUAGUAUGUUAUUUUGCACUAUAGAGAUAGUAACUUAGACUAGUGUCAUAUGCAUGACACUAGUAUAAGUUACUCCCCACCAUGACCAUCCUUACAAACCAUUGACAAACUUUACUCCUUUUAUUAAGUUCAACUUGUACUCCUUUAAGUUCGCCACUCCACUCUGCAUGUCAUUACAAGGGAAGUAAGACCCUCGGUGCACAAAAGAAAGAGGUAUGUGUUAAAGCCGGAGCUAUGAGUUGGGUGUAUUCCUUUUUCACAAAUGCAACAAAUACCAAAUAACGUGAUUUUCCUGCAUUACAGUAACAGCAUAUUUUUUUUCCCAGCAAACAUGCACCUACCAAUUCAUACUCCUUUAAAUUCGCCACUCCAUUCUGCAUGUCAUUACAAGGGAAGUAAGACCCUCGGUGCACAAAAGAAAGAGGUACUCCCUCCGUUCGGAAUUACUUGUCGUAGAAGUGGAUGUCUCUAGACGUAUUUCAGUUCUAGAUACAUCCAUUUCCGAGACAAGUAAUUCUGAACGGAGGGAGUAUGUGUUAAAGCCAGAGCUAUGAGUUGGGUGUAUUCCUUUUUCACAAAUGCAACAAAUAACAAAUAACGUGAUUUUCCUGCAUUACAUUAACAGCAUAUUUUUAUUUUCCCAGCAAACACGCACCUACCAAUUCACAACGCUAAGUGUUGAGACAUGAUAUACAAUCAAUGGAAUCCUACCUUUUUCUAGUUCUAUAUAUACACCACCAACACACUAAAACGGGUCAUACAAUAUUGCCUUUACUUUUUCCAUUUUACAGGCUAACCAAUCAAGCCAGCGGCAACCUAUGGGCUAUAUUAACACGCAAACGUGUAUCGUCAACGGCAUGUCACUGUAUACCUCGCUUGCCUCAGUCAUUGUUCUUGAAGAAGGAACCCCAUUUUUGUGUCAAUCCAUCAAUCAGGCUGCCAGUCCGGCUCUUCUGGACUACAAGUGUUGCUCUUGUGCCAUCCUCUCCAUUGGGGUUCUGGAUGGGUUUCUGGGAUUCUGCCGAGCCAGAUUUUCCAUUGAUGACCUGAGUUGAGCCGUUGGAUUCUGAUGCGCCAGAAACAUUAGCAGAAACAGCAUCAUUUACAGUGCAGCGAUCUGCACUUUGCACACUAGACGUCUUUGUUACACUGUUACAGGCUGCUACAUCCUUACCAGGAGCAUCAGCACCACGCACAGAGAUGGAGGAUGCAUCUGUCUCCAAUGCCACUACAUCAGGUGCUACACUAUUUUCUUUGGAAGCAACAUCAGAUACAGCUGAUUGAGUGUUCUUUGUAUUUGACUUGUCUAAAUCCUUCAGGGACUCGAGAAUUGCUUGCAUCAGCAUCUGCGUUUAGACACAGCAGAAUAGAGAUUAACCACUGGUACGGUUAGAAACGUGGAAAGGUAGGCUAGGAAGUACU